UACGGGGAGACCUAAAUCGUGACUUGAUUUUUCCUUUGAUAGAGGGAAUAUAAGCGUGGUAAGGCUUAGAAAAGCCACACUCGUCUAUAUCCCAUAUUUAAGGGGACUCCUAAUAUUUAUAUGGUCCAAAGUAAUGAAGUUGAUUUAAUUAUGGGGAUAUAGACUUGGACCAUCAAAUCUUUUACUUUCUAUAUCUAAGCAAUGAAGUUGCACAAAUUAAAAUUAUCAAGGACCAAUUUGAUGAAAUUAUUCAAUUGAUUGGGCCAUAGCAGGAGAAGGGGGAGACUUGGGGGGUGAGGAUGCAAUUUUCUGGAAUUAUUUUCAUGCAAAAUGCAUGCAAACGUACGAAAGCAUUCUCUGCAUCAAACAAACCAAGUGAUUAUCAUGCCAAUUCAUUCAACAGCUUCCAUGAUUUCUCAACAAAAUUCGGCAAGCAAGAUCCAUACAAAGCUUUCAACCAACUUCAAUUAGCAAACAUGGCUAAACACCUCUGAAAAAUAUAAUUCAUGGCAGCACUUCAUGCUAAUGACAACUAGAAACAGCGGCUGCGACAACAAAAUGGAACCUUGCUGCAUUUUCACUGUUCUCAGGUUUCGGACCUAAGUAUGCAGCUUGGCUCGAAGGUUGUUUUUAGACCAAAAUCAUAGUUUGAAACUGAACAACAAGACAAAUCCCUUCAACAUCCCAAACAAGCAGCAAAAGACAAUCUUUUUAUGAAAUUUUCAUGCAAAUGUUUCAAUCAAAGUUUCUGUAACUGAAGAUAUGCGCCUACCACGGAAUUUCUGAAAUCAGGAUUCAAUUAGCUUCUUAUGGGUUAGAAACUGCAGAAAUAUUCUAUUAUUCACCCCAAGAAACUCCAGAAACGUUCUAACACACAGCAAACAGACCCAACAGGACAAAAAAAAACAAAACUAGAACCUCCGCUAACCCAAAAACCAGCUUCGUUAACAUCGCUGCAAUAGAUUGGCCUUGUUGCAGCUGAUACUACAUCGCAAAUUGCUACUUUAAGAUGCAGGCAGGCAUAGACAUGGCAUUAUCAUCACACAGCAAGCAAAAGCAAAAGAAGUCCCAAAGGAGCAAACAAUCCACACCAGAAAUUUAGUCACCAAGGAAAAUUCAGUUUUUGUCUAAUCGUGGAGCAAACAAUCCACACCAGAAAUUUAGUCACCAAGGAAAAUUCAGUUUUUGUCUAAUCGUUGUAACAAACCAGAAGCUUCACGCUUGUUGCUUGUUUCAUCAGAUUUUCGUGCACAAAUCCCAGCCAAAACAGAGCUUGAAACCAAACAACCAGCUUACCAAAUACCCUUCUCACUCUUCAACAAAAAGUCUUUGGGUUUAGGCACCAAGAAAAAUCAGAAUAAAACAAACAAAGCUGGAAAUUUCCUGCGGCUUCACCAUCUAACCAAACAGAUUCAUCGUAUACCUCCCCCCAUAGGCAAACCCCAAACUGCUCCUCCUAAACCCAAAUCGUGAAGACAAACAAAAUUCUAAGAAUGGACUUGUAACCCACGGAUCAUAGGCAUUCCGAAAAGUUAACAGCUUUCGAAUUCAUAAGCUUUCAAUCCCGCAUGUUCAGAAUACACAUAAAAAACCCACAUAAGAAUCACAAGACCUGGCCUUUUUACUUACGAACUAAUAAUCAAGUUCAUGGUGAACAUGAAACAACAAAGAAACGGAGAAGUGGGCAACAAAACUGGAAUGAGCAAGAUAAGGCUGGAGUUACCUCAGCACCUUACAUAGUUGGAAUUGCAAUGAAAAUUUGCAGGAAGGUAGGCAAACUGAUAUCCCUGGGCAUAAUGGUGACCCCCCUAACGUGAAUGGCAUCAGAUUUGCGUCCCCAAACAGUCCAACCAAGUACGUCUCCGCAGACUCUCUUCUGUACUUCCUGAUUUCUCUCGGUGCCACCGUUCUUGGACAGAAACGAUGGGGUUUCUUCACUCCUCAGGUUGCCGGAGCUGAUUUCCUUGUUGCCUUGGCGGCUAGCUGCUUCCUUGGUUUGCUUGUUGCUCAGAUUCUCCUCUCCUCUCUCAGUUGUUCUCCUACAGCCGUCAACUUCUCAGUUUUUUCUUUUGCUGUUUUUUCCUCCCGUCAGCUCCCUCUCGGCUUUCUCCAACUCUCCCCUACUGUUCCUGCUUAGCUUUCUUGUUUUUUCUCUUUUUCGUUUUUCUUUCUUUCCGAUCCUAUCCUGUUAAUGCUCUCCCAAAAAAACCUCCCCGAUUCCCUCUCUCGUUUUCUUGGAUCUUCUAAGCCCUUUUUCUUCCUAUCACCCCUAACCCCAACUCUCUCUUUCAGUUUUUCUCUCGCUGUCCCCACUCUCAAUCUCUCAGCUCUCAGUUUUUCUUUUUGCCGUUCUUACUCUCCCCACGAUGAAGCUCACUCUGUUGGUUCUCUCCCUAAAGCCCGCAGCCUUUCUUUCUUUUUCCUUUGCUGUUUUUCUUUUCCCUAACCGAGCUCCCCUCUCUUGCGGCUACCUUUCAGCUUUCCUUUUAUAUCCCAUGAUAACCCUAAACUUCAAGCCAGCUCUUCUAUAUUUGCAGCCCAAGGAGCUGCCGAACAUUUCUUUGCAAGCUGCGAAAAACGCAGCUUGCUGCCGCGUAUCACUCUUUUUUUUUUUUUUUUAACUUUCAACUUAAUAAAUAUAAUAAUAAUAACAAAUUGACAAAAACCAGGUAAUAAUAAUGAAAAUAAUUUAAAAACAACAAAAAUGGCCAUUUUUCCAUCUUUUUCUACAUUUUCUUUUUUCUCCUUUUUUUAUGAUUUUUCAUUUCCAUUUUUCUUUCAAGAAAGCAUUGAAUAAAAACCAAAAUGACUAAAACAUAUUUUUGAUGUUUUCCUUUUCUUUUUCUAAAAACUCUAUGCUAAGCUUAAAAACUAAAAAAAAAACUAAAAACUAAAAACUAAAAUCUAAAACUUAAAAGUGAUUAAAAACCUAAAAUGACAAAAUAAAAAUAAAUAGACAAACUAAAAGGGCAAAAUGAAUAAAACUAAAAUAAAAUAACAACUAAAAAAUGCAAAACACACAACAAUGAACUAAAUGCAAGCGAUCUAAAAUAAAAAUCAUGAAGUAGAUGCCACAUACAAAUUAUUCAAAAUUUGGUGUCUACAGUUUGCCCCUCUUUGUCUGAGUUUUGAAAAAACUUGAGACAAAGAAGUGGACACCAAAUACUUACCUGUGUUAUUGGGCUGCAAAAUGAUUCCAACGAACAAGAAUUCUAAAAAAACGGGACUGACCCGAACAUGAAUGUAAAAACGGGAUAGACCCGAACAGAAAUGUAAAAUUGGGAUAGACCCACGGGAUAGACCCGAACAGAAAUUUAAAUUAGAUGAAUUGAAGUGAGAUGGAGUGUUGGUGGGAUGAAAACACGCACAUUAGUGAGAUAGGCUCGAUGCUAACGGCGGUAGGAUGAAAACGCGCACGUUAGUGAGAUAGACUCGAUGCUAACGGCAGUAGAAAUAAAACACGCACGUUAGUGAGAUAGACUCGAUGCUAACGGCAGUAGAAAUAAAACACGCACGUUAGUGAGAUAGACUCGAUGCUAACGGCUGUAGGAUGAAAACACGCACAUUAGUGAGAUAGACUCGAUGCUAACGGCGGUUGAAGUAAAACACGCACGUUAGUGAGAUAGACUCGAUGCUAACGGCGAUGAAAACACGCACAUUAGUGAGAUAGACUCGAUGCUAACGGCGGUUGAAGUAAAACACGCACGUUAGUGAGAUAAACUCGAUGCUAACUGCGGUUGAAGUGCACAUUAGUGAGAUAGACUCGAUGCUAACGGCGGUAGGAUGAAAACACGCACAUUAGUGAGAUAGACUCGAUGCUAACGGCGGUUGAAGUAAAACACGCACGUUAGUGAGAUAAACUCGAUGCUAACUGCGGUUGAAGUAAAACACGCACAUUAGUGAGAUAGACUCGAUGCUAACGGCGGUAGAAUGAAAACACGCACGUUAGUGAGAUAGACUCGAUGCUAACGGCGGUUGAAGUAAACACGCACAUUAGUGAGAUAGACUCGAUGCUAACGGCGGUUGAAAUGAAAACACGCACGUUAGUGAGAUAGACUCGAUGCUAACGACGGUAGAACGGAAGCGCACACGUUAGUGAGAUAGACUCGAUGCUAACGGCGGCAGGAUGAAACACACACGUUAGUGAGAUAGACUCGAUGCUAACGGCGGUAGAAAUAAAACACGCACGUUAGUGAGAUAGACUCGAUGCUAACGGCGGUAGGAUGAAAACACGCACAUUAGUGAGAUAGACUCGAUGCUAACGGCGGUUGAAGUAAAACACGCACGUUAGUGAGAUAGACUCGAUGCUAACGGCGGUAGAAUGAAAACCAAUCCCAACAUGACUUUUGUGAAGUUGGCGGCACAAAAUCCAGGCCCAACGUGAUCUUGUGAUAGUUGGCGGCACAAAAUCCAGGCCCAACGUGAUCUUUGAUAGUUGGCGGCACAAAAUCCAGGCCCAACGUGAUCUUUGUAAGGUUGGCGGCACGAAGUCCAGGCCCAACGUGACAUUGUGAAUGGUCAGUGGGAUAAGACCCAAUCCUGCCAUCCAAUUGGUCAAGAAAUUGAAUUUGAUUUGUCAAAAUACAAGAAAUUAAAUUUGAUUUUCCAAGAAACAAGAAUUUGAACUUGAUUUUUGAUUGAUUUUUUUUAUUUUUCCUGAUUUUUCGAGAGAAUCUUUUUCCCAAAAUAAUUUGCCCCAGUGUAAGGCCCUUUUCCCUUCUUUCUUCUCUUUCUUCGGCAUCGGCCUUCCACAUCGCCAGAUGCUUUUCGUCGACUUCAACUGUGAAUACCUGCACAGGGGGCUUACAUGCACUCAAAUUUUCAAGAAAAAGGCAGCGUGAUUGAAAGUCUUGCUUGAGUCUUUGACGAAAUCCUCAAAUGGACUAUAAAAAAUUUGCCCCAGUGUGGGCUUAUUUUGUGAAAUCUUGCGAAUAAAAAUUUUGCCCCAGUAUGGGCCCAUUUGAUUGCAAACAAUUGGUUUGGAUGACUUUCCAUUUAUGCGAACACUAUAAGAAAGAAAAUUUCAUGAUGAAUUUCUCAAAAUAAUGCCAAAUUACAAAGGAUUUCUUCCUUACCUUAGCAUCGAAGCUUUGGGUAAUGGCGUUAUUUCUGAUUUGGAAAUGGGAGGUCAAGAUUUGUCUUAUUCAUGUGCUCAGAUGGUAUGUAACCCCUUCUAUACCACAUCUUGGUGAAAGCAAAGAGUUUAUCAUCCUUAUUUCUUAAGAAAACGUAGUCCACAUACGAGCUUUAUAGGCUUGCAAUAACACGGAUGGAAACGAUAGCUAAAACAUGAAAAAACUGGUUGUUCCCUUAUGAUCACAAAUGAUUGAUGGAUUUCUUACGAGCAUAGUCGUCACUUUGGAUUGUCAUGAAGGAAUAAGUCAACGAUGGACUUUAUGAGCUUGUAAUGUGGCUUGAAAACGAUAGCUAAAGAAUAAAACUUUCAAGGACAUUACACCACAGAUCGCAUUUUUCAACAUUGCCUUCAUCUGGACUCCAGAUUCUUGGACUUUGUUUGACUUUUUAUCAUCACCCAACAGGGUCUUUCAACAUCAAAUCUUUUUGCAUCUUUCUUUUGCAUUCAUUUCGCUCGUUUUUCUUUUCUUUUUCCCUCUUUUCAGAAAUACCUUCUCGGGGUUUCAUAUGAAGAGCAGUGUCAACCUCACGCCAAAUCAAUUCAGAAAUACAGCUAAAAUUUUCGACAUCAGAAAUUUUCUUAACAGGGCCAUUGCUAAGAACAGAAGUCAGGGCUUUCGGCUUUUGUAAUGGGGUCAGGUGGGGUGCUUAGAAAAGUUAAGGCUUGAAAACGGAUUUCAAAGUGGUUUGAAAAAUCCGAGAUCGCAUUGUUGCGCCAACCCUAUUUCAGGGUUAAAUCAAAAUCUGCCUCAGUUUUUGCUCAAUUGAGGCUUUUCACUUUCAUUUUUCUUUUUCCAUUUGACUUUUCGGCCUUUUUGCCAUUCUUUGAAAUUUCACAAAAUUUGCCCCAAUUUACUUUUGAACUGAGGUUCUCUUUUCUUCUUUUGCCUUUUGAUUUUGUGGGUUUUCACUUUUUCGCUUCUUGAAAUUUUCUUUUUCAACCCAACUUGCCCCAGUGUGGGGUUUGCGAUUCUCAGGGGGUGCCAAAUGAAGUAUUUUAUUCUGAAGGCUCAAAAGGGAUAACUAGGGAUAGAAUGUUUGAUUGGAAAAGAAGAUGGCCUGACUUGUAUUCCGUUCCUUACAAUAACUCUGAAAGGAAAUUUUCAUUAAUGGGAAAUUUUUGGCAUGUAUCUGAAUUAACUGAUUGGGGAAGACCCUUGUUCAUCCAUAUUUGUGAAACAUAGGUGAUCCACGCGGACAAAACUCUUCCUUUUCUCUUUUUUCCAAAAUUCGGAACCCAAGUGGAGUCAAAUUUCCCCAAUUUGCGGUUCCCUCCUUAUUCGAGCAUUUUUGCUUUUCCCCUUUUCUUUUCCUUUUUAAAAUUUCCCAAUCUCCUUCCCCAAUGCGAGGUACGAUCAUAAGUGCAUUCGAAAAGAACCACCAAUUUUAGCUCAAAUGAGGACGCAAGGGAUAAAUGGUGUUUAGAUUGAAGAAAUGAUGGCCAAAGUAUCAUUCUUACACUUCAUGACAACCAAAGUAACGAAAUGCUCAUUGACAAUCCAUUCCCUUUUGAAAGUUUUGGUGUUUUAUUAUUUAUUUAUUUAUUUACUAUUCGUUUUUAUUUGUUCUAUUUUUAUUUUUAUUUACUUUUAGUUUUAGUUAUUUUAUCCAUUUUAGCUAGAAUUUCUCAAAGGAAAAAGAAAAGUGUUCAAAAAAAAUAUGUUUUAGUCGUUUAGGAUUUAAUUUCAUUAUUGAAAGGAAAAAAGGAAAAAUAAAAAUGAAGAAUGGGAAAAAGAAAAAUUGCAACUUCGUUCGUUUGUUUUUGUUUGAUAUUUUUACUUAAUCAUCUUGUUGUUUAUAUUACUUAAUUAUCUUUUGUUUAUUGCUUAAUUUUAUUACUUAAAUUUUAAGUGUUAAAAAAAAAAAAGAAGUGAUACGCGGCAGCAAGCUGCGUUUCUCGCAGCUUGCAAAGAAAUGUUCGGGCAGCCCUUGGCUGCAAAUAUAGGAAAGAUGUUUGAGGGUUUUAGGGUUGAUAGAUGGAUAUAAAUAGCAAAGGAGGAGGCCAGCCGCAAGGGGGGAGGAUUGAGGAGAGAGUUACGGGAGAAAGAGUAAACGGCAAAAGAAAACAUCAUAGAGAGACGGACGGCUGCAAGGAUCUGGAGAAAGGAAAGAAAUCUGGGAAAAGUCCGAAAGAGAGUUUGGGGUGGCGGCGGAGAGCUUGACAGCCUGGUGAGAGGAAAGGGAAAUAGCAAAGAGGGGGCAUCGAUUGACUGCGGCAAAGAUUUGGAAAGGCUAGUGACGGUUGAGAAGUUGGUUGGACGGCUGAAACCAGAAGGAGACCGAAAGAAACCCCAAGCAGCGACUUCAUCAGACUCUGCAAUCGAUUUCUUCAUCACCCAAGCUGAAGCUUCAAACCCAAAGGUGGUCAACAGGUAGCUUUCCACCCGUUUCUGUAUCUAUUUCCAUUUCCUAUGAAAUCUGGUCUGCGUAAUUAGAGUUCCUGGAGUCUUGCACUGAGUUCUUGAUCGCUAAAGUAAAGCUUGGUGUUUUGGAUGAUUUUUCCGUGACAGCAUGCAGUUUUCUUGUGUUCAUUGGGGUUUGCAAGUAAAGUUGUUCCCUUCCUUCGAUGUUUUUCUGUGUUUUGAGUAUAGCCAGGCCUGAUAACGUUUUGUUUUUCUUACCAACCAUUUUGUUUCCAAAAUCUGAAGCCAACUUUGUCCGUUUUCUUUUGGCAUUCCAUCUAACACUUUUCGUUUCAUGGUUGGGUUUUGAUAUUUGAGGAAGGUUGGAUUUUUAUUUCUGUUUUGGUUGAGGAGUGCGUUGGUUUGGCCUGGUUUCUCCCAGAUCGAUCAAUGAGUGAGGAUUAUGUGGGUUGGGGCUGAUGAGAUAACAAAUUGUUAGAGUUUUCAUACGGACCUAAAUUGCAUGGAAUGAGCUGCGCAGUUCACAGCAGAAUUUCUGCUGCAAUUUCAUCUUUUCGGCUAGAUUGCAUUUUCCUUCUUUUUGUCUUUGUUUGUUUUUACCGUAGCUGUGGCUGUUCAGUCUAGGUAAUGUCCAGUCUUGUGCUACUUUGGCUGAAAUGCCUGAAUUGGGAUCCAAUGCUUGCUGGAAAAUGAAUGAUUGAAGUUGUCAAACCAGUGUUGCACGCAUGUUUAUUCCAGAAAUUUGCAUGAUAUCUUCUUGGGUUUCUUGUUUGUUUGGAUUAUGAUGGUGGUUUAGUUGUGGGCUUGGUCUAAAGUUGUGACGUUGAGUUUAAUUACAUCUAAUCAAGGUUGUGAUAAGAAUCUGAGUUUAUAAGAAAAUUGCUGCAAAGUUGUUUGGCCGGAAACAUUGUUGAAGCUGAAACCUUUUAUUGUUGCUUGCAUGUUAUUUCAGACCUGAAUAUAAUGUUUUUCUGGGUUGUUUGCUUGCUUGGAUCAUGGUUGCUCAAGCCAAAGUUGUUUGUUGCUUAAUCUUGGUCGAAGUUAUGUAUUUGAACCAGAAAAUUUGAGUUAGUUUGCAAGUAAAAUGCAGCAGAUUUCACUUUCAGCUAUAGCAGUUUUCAUUCUUCAAUGUUUGCAUGUUCAUUCUUCAAUGUUUGAAUGAUUUCCACCUUUGUCUUUGCUGAUUUUGGAUGUUAAACUUAUGUUUUUACUGUCUAAGUUUAAAGUUUUGGAUGUUAGCUUUGGUUAAGGUAUGUGAUUGGAUGUGGAGUUGGCAUUUGGGAGUGAAACAUGAAGGAAAUGCAGCUGAAUUGGCGCAGAAAUGAAAGGCUUCUACGUGUUUUGCAUGCAUGGAUAAUUUCAGAAUUGUCUCUUAACCCCCCAAGUCUCCCCUUGUUCUACUAUGACCCAGAAAUUGGAAGGAUUAAUCAAUUUAGUCCAUGAGAUUUUGCAGCAAUGCUACAAAGACCCGUUUGCUUUUCAAUCGUUUGCAUUCAAGUUCUAAAGUGUUUGCAAUCUGAGCUAUUACUUGCUUUUGUCUUUGCCCUUGGACCUUUGAAGUUCCUGAAAAGUGUUUGAUUAAGCUUGAGUGCUUUGUUAAUAUUUGCAAUUUGGUCCUUGGAAAUUUUAAUUUUUCAAUUCAUUGCUUGUUUUGCUUCAACUAAUUACCAUGCUUUGUCAAUUGCACUUAAGUCAUGACUUUGGGGACUUUAUGGUCAAGUGAGCUUUGCUUUGCACAUUUCUUUUAAUUUUUCUUAAAUAAAUUGGUACCUUGACCAUUUCUUUUAUUUUGGAGGAUAAAUAAGUGAUUUCACUUCAUUGGGCCCCAAUUUCAAGGGAGGUACACCCUAAUCCCUUCUUUGCACUUCAUUUGACCCUACGUGCUCUUAUGUGUUAUGUGAAUAUGCCUGCCUACUCCGCUUUCCUUACCUCCUUGCAUGCAUUUACUUGUUUUUACUUUUAUUUAAGUUUUAUGGGGUAUGUGUACACCUCUUGGCUUGUAAUAGAUAGGGCUCGGAGAGCAUCUGGUCCAUUUCCCCUUCCCCUUUAAGUUUUAUGGGGUAUGUGUACACCUCUUGGCUUGUAAUAGAUAGGGCUCGGAGAGCAUCUGGUCCAUUUACCCUUCCCCUUGGUUGUUGGCUUUUGUUGCUACAUGUUUAAUUGCUUUAUUAGGCUCUUGCAUCUAGUCGAGCAUGCUAAAUGCUAUGUGCUAUGUGUUUACGAGUAUUUUGGCAUGUCUACUUGCUUUCAUAGCCAUGAAUGAAUGGAAUGGAUGAAUGUACGUUUCCGCUAGUCCAACGCUAGUCGGAGUUCAUAGAAUGGGCUAGUCCAACGCUAGACCCAAUAGGAUUUUUCCUUUGUUUUUCAUUAAUGCAUUAUUUGCCUGUUCACUACAUGUCAUGCAUCUUUCUUAGUUUUAUCAUUUGGCAUGCUCCCCGAGCCCCUUUUCCCUCAUUUUAGGAUUUUUUGCAUCUCAUACUAGUUAUAGGGUUCAUUUGCUUGAGAGUCCCCUUCUGAUAUGGGAUAUAGACGAGUGGAGCUUUUAGCUAAGCCUUAGCACGCUUAUAUUCCCUCUAUCAAAGGGAAAAUUGAGUCACGAUUUAGGUCUCCCCGUACCCAGUAUGCAUGAAUUCCCUAGGCUCAUGCAUUUUUUAAAUCCACUCUAUCAUUACACUUUCACUUUUGUCUCAUUUGCACACAUGCACCUUUUUAUCACUUUCACUUGCACACGAACACUUUUUUUAUCUUCACUUGCACAUGAACAUUUUUAUUUUCACUCGCACACGAGUACUUUCAUCUACAUUUGCACACCUUCACUUAUAUCUUAUUACUUUUAUCAUUUUUCUCACUUCACACAAACUCACACUUUCACAUGGCAUGCAUUCCACUCAUUUUUCACGUCAUUUAGGUUUAGGUGUGACCUCUCCAAAAGGAUCAUUGUUGGGCUUCACAAUUAAUGUGAUUGGCACCGCUCAACCUUUGAAGAGAAAUUUCCCCCAUAUCCCCCUAGGUCUAGGUUUUUGCAUUCAUAUAGACAUAUCCAAUACGCGAUACAUACCUUGGGUAGAAAAAUUAGGAAAAUUGGUUUAAGUCACGCAACUAGCCUUGGCUAGGUCGAAGGGGUGCCUUGGAUUUUUAUCCUUGCCUUCCCCUUCGUCAAAUGUGACUCCCGAUCCCUCUUUUGGUUACGUAGACCCAAAAGUUCUCAAAAAGGGUUUAUUUACUUUUUUAUUCAAAAACAAAAAUCAUUUUUGGGUGACUUGGUACACCCUAACUCUAUACCAAGUGGCGACUCCAUUUUUGAUACAAAAAAAAAACCCUUUUGAACUUCACUUGGCCAAGUCGUCGCAUUCUAAGUCCCAUGGCCUUUUACUUUUCAUUUUGCACACAUUCACAUUCCACUACACACAUCACAUCACAUUCUCAUUCAAAAAGUGGGGCGCGACAGUAACUACUCGAAUUAACGAACCAAAUUGGAGGUAGUAGAACGCCACAAUCAAGGAGAUACUCGAUUGAUAAGUUCGGGUGAAUAACUUGAGAAGAUUCUCAAGUAUUCAAAGGCAACUCUCUUGCCAAAGAGAAAGUGAAAACUCACUAAUUGUAUUUAAUAGCCAAAAACUGAUGUGAAAACAAAGAGGAAGUGGGGCUAUUUAUAUCCCUUACAAGCAUUAACCAUAAUCCAAAAGUUGACCAAACUACCCUACAUACUUAAGAAAGAUUUUGGGUCUUACUUACUAACAAAUGGGCCGCAAUUAAACUAUCUUAAUUACCUAGACUUUUUAAAACGAGAAAUAACCAAAAUCAACGAGGAAAAUCAAAUAAUCCUACUAAACUCAAGCAUUCGUGCAAUCAACUAGUCUUCACUUGAAUCUUCCAAUUCCCCAUGUGCUUGAAUGGGCCUUGGUCUUUAUAUUCUCAUCAUUCCCCUACUCUUAAAAGCAAUUUGCCCACAAAUUGAAGCACGAAUGGUGACAAGACGAGUUACAUGCCUUCGACUCAAUCUUGUUAUGAUGGCUACAGAUGGCAUCCAAUGCAAAGCCCAUGUGCUAAGUUGGAAAAUAACCCUCGUCGAACCUUGAAUCUCACAAACCAUCUUCAAUGUAUGCUCAACUUUAUUGCUUGUGGUCAUGAGGUAAGGGUCCUCAAAGUGGUAUGAAGUGUAUCCCGUGAAAUCGAACUCCGGCUCGAACACAUUUGCAAGGCACCAAGGCGGAUUUGGUGAUGUUAGAGCUGCAUGUGGACUAAGAGCAAGACGAAAAUCAUAAUGGUCAUUGAGGUACUUGUUCUUUAAACGAACCCUUGGUACACAACCAUCCCUAAAAUAUGGAGUGUUCCCUUCAAGAUGAGCUCGAAUCAACUCCCCUUUGGUGUGGACUGAUUUGAGUUGACAUUGUUCCAUGAAUGGAUACCAAGGGGGUUUAACUCUUGGAGUACCAACUCCAUGGAGGCUUGCAACGUCUACAAUUAAUUUUGGAAUGGAACACACCAAGAUCAGCUCAACUUGCCUUUGCUUGAUCUGUAUAAAAGAAGAAACACUAAACAAAGCAAAGGUAAGUUUGUUAAGAAAAUAAUAGGCCUUCACCGGGUUGCUCAAGAUCAGUCCACUUUCUCUUCUUUCUUCCUUUUUACCACCCAUCUCAUUAGAUUUUUCCAUCUCUUUUUCUAGUUCAACAGCUGACCCUUUUAUCUCAUUACUUUCAACUUCCUCGGGUUUUACCUCUGCAGGCACAAUUCCCUCAUCUAGCUUUUUCUCCAUUCUAUAACGCUCAAGCGCACUUUUCAUGCAUGCUAGAUCAAUACAAAGUUGGUCAUAAGUAAGUGAUACAAGUGCAAGACGACGACUAUUAAAUAAGAAGGAAUACUUAUUAGUAUGUCCAUCAAUUUUAACUUCUCGCCUCGACAUCCAUGCUUUGCCCAACAACACAUGUGUCACUUGAAUUGGGACUACAUCACACAACACCUCAUCCACAUAUUUGCUGAUUUGAAUAGGUACAAGUGUGUGCUUAGUAACCCAAACAUCCCUAUGAGUGCUCGUCAACUUGUAAGGUUGAAGAUGAUCAAUGGUUGGAAGAUUUAAUUUCUCAACCAUGAUAGCACUUGCAAGAUUGACUUCACAACUACCAUCAAUGGCCAAGCUACAAAUUUUAUCUUUGACACCGCAACGAGUAUAAAACCAACCAAGCAACUGAGAUUUGACGAGGUCCAAUUGCUCAUCUACACCACGUAAUGCCACUUCUUUGACUCCCUUAGGAUCAGGAAGACAAUGUUGUGGGCUAGCUUUUAUGCGUCUUAUACUUGCCAUGACGUAUGAGGGAACCUGCAAAAAGUUAGCAACGAAACCGAAGAUAUUGCCUUUCACGCUCCCUUACGUGUAUCCACUCGCACUCGUGUAUAUGGAUGUCACUCUAAUGGACUUACCAAAUACCUUUACCUGUUGGGUUAGGUAGUUGAGAAAUGCUGCUCAAGUCCAACAACCGUUACCAACCUUUCCACAAGUGUAAUCACAAGAAUGUAGGAGAAAAUGUAUGAAAGUGUUCCUAGAAUCUAGGAAGAGAAUAUAGGAGAGUUUCAUAAAGUGGAUGAGAGAAUAUAGGAAAGGUCCUAAAAAUGGAUGAGAGAAUUUUAGGAGAGUUUCCUAAAAAAUGGAUGAGAGAAUUUAGGAAAGUUUCCAAAAAAAUGGAUGAGAGAGUUUAGGAAAAAAAAAUGGAUGAGAGAGUUUAGAGAAAAUUUCCUAAAAAGGUAGGAGAGAGAGUGUCCAAGUGAGUACAAAGAGUUAUCCAAGUGCUUUACUUAGUUUCCUAAUUGAUUUUGGAAACAAGUUAGUUUUUGGAAACCUUUUGAAAAUCCUCUUCCUCUUGAACAACUUUUGGUAACCUUCUUGAAACAACUUUUGGUAACCUUCUUGAAACAACUUUUGGUAACUUCCAAAUUCUACUCCAAGAAAGAUUGCACAAAUCAGAUUUGGUUCUCUAUUCAAAACAAUUCGGUUGCCCCUUUCUUUCCUUGCCUUUUUUUUUUUCUCUUGCCAACCAAUUCCUCUUUUCUUUCUUCUUUUUUUUUGUCUUUUUUUGACUACAACUAUCAACCACGACACAAAACAAGGAAGUCCACAAAUAAUAACAACCAAGAACUCCAAGAUCUUUCAAGAACGUUCAAGGAAGUUGUCAGGAACUUCAGAAAUUUCAAGAUUGUGGUCAAGAAUUCAAGAAGCUCAAGAUUAUUGUAAGUUCUCUUCACGAUUCACAAAAUUCCAACAAUUUUUGCCAAAAUUCAGAUUUGAAAACCAAGUAAACAAGUUGGAUAACACAAACAACAAGGCUGGACAGAUUUGUAUUCGGAUGAACAGAACCCUAUGAACAGUAUCAGUGAACAGUGUCGGUGAACAGUAACGAUGAACAGUAAUAUUUUUUUUUUUUUUUUGGUUCUGAACAAACGAACAGAUUGGGAUAAACACAUAUGACUCGAAAUAAACGAAAACAAAAAAAAAGAUAUAACCUGGUGGUUGUCAACUAGCUCUGGUACCAACUGAUGUGAAACCCCGAUCUAGACAACCAAAACACCAUGGCUUAGGCAGCGAAAAUUUGACCCAACUAAUCCCUAGAAGUCACGAACAAUUUUGAUAUUAUCUCAACCCGUAACUACUCGAAUUAACGAACCAAAUUGGAGGUAGUAGAACGCCACAAUCAAGGAGAUACUCGAUUGAUAAGUUCGGGUGAAUAACUUGAGAAGAUUCUCAAGUAUUCAAAGGCAACUCUCUUGCCAAAGAGAAAGUGAAAACUCACUAAUUGUCUUUAAUAGCCAAAAUCUGAUGUGAAAACAAAGAGGAAGUGGGGCUAUUUAUAGCCCUUACAAGCAUGAACCCUAAUCCAAAAGUUGACCAAACUACCCUACAUACUUAAGAAAGAUUUUGGGCCUUACUUACUAACAAAUGGGCCGCAAUUAAACUAUCUUAAUUACUUAGACUUUUUAAAACGAGAAAUAACCAAAAUCAACGAGGAAAAUCAAAUAAUCCUACUAAACUCAAGCAUUCGUGCAAUCAACUAGUCUUCACUUGAAUCUUCCAAUUCCCCAUGUGCUUGAAUGGGCCUUGGUCUUUAUAUUCUCAUCAGAGCUCCCCUAUCCGGUCGGCUUGCAUCCUCGUGAUGCCCCUCAGCCUAAGCAUCUCUGUGUGGUCCCGGGCGGCAGCCCGUCUAAGCCUCCUCCGCUCAUCCAGUACCGCCACGACCACGUGGUCCGCAUAGGAGUGACUCUGGCAACGCCUACAGCGACGGGUCCGACUAGCGGUGUACCAGAGCCGGAUCGGACCUCCUGGCCUCUCCUUAUAAUCGACAACGCGCGGGCGUCUCCUUGGUGGCUCACCUCAACCAGCACCACUGUUUCCGACCAUAGCCUACAAGGAUAGCAAAAGGAUUCAUAUCUUAAACAAUGUAAACAUAAGCACACCUAACAGUUCCUUAACACUUCCCUCACAGGUCCUAAGGAACAAAAGUCAAACUUGCCUAGGUCAUUUCUAACCUAGGCUCUGAUACCACCUGUGACAGCCCCACCUUCCCCUAAGGCGUACCAAAGGGGUUAGCGGACUGCCUGCCCAGCUCUCGCCAGGACUACUAGCUCGAUUAUGUACAAUCUAAAACGUUCCGGAAGGUAAUAGCGCGCUCAAACGAAACAAAACCGUGAAAUGAAAUGGAAUAUCAAAGCCUCACAUGAACAGUGCCAAACACAUUUAUACAUGUAAGGUUCCCAAAUUACAACUCAAAAUAUAGUGUUACAAUAAAAUACAUUUAGGUUUUCCAACCAUCAAGGAGCUAUACAAAAGUAUAUGAAACUAGCUCAACUCGGCUUCCAAUUCACAGUUUUCAAAAGGUAUUCACAUCCCUGUAAGGAAAACAAAGGCAAUGGAGUGAGCUUUCGCCCAAUGAGGUACACUCAUGCAGAUCAGUAAGGUUCACAUAAGCACAAAGUUGCUCAGUCCAACGUUCAACAAGUAAUCCGAACUAACAUUACAUUAAAUUCAGUAAAAGGAUACGGGCGUCUCUCAAGAGCCCUCUUCCUCGCUUGCCGUACUUGAUCUCGCCCCGUUGACCCUCCGUCAACGCUUAAAGAAGUAACCAAUACCGUAGACCCCACUUUCGCCAAUUUCCAUCCACCUCACAUACCCCUACCGGGCCCGAACUCUAUUCAGUUUACAAUGGUAAUACUCGAGUAUACCAGAAUCAAGGGUCUCAUACCCAAUGAUUCCAUAAAACAGUCCCUACGGCUUAUCAAUCUCCUCGACCAUGUCCUUGCUGGCUCGAGUCAAUCGACUUCCAAUAGGGUUGAGCUCAGAGUAAACAGUAAGAGUCGUUGGAUACGUCCAAACGACCCCAAUUCAAGUAUAUUCAAAGACAUUCACUUGAUACAGUAACAAUCACAUAGGCCAUUGAGUGUAAGAGUGAUAAAGUACACCCUUAAUUCAACCAAGCUCAUCAAUACACACAAGCGUCCAAGCCAUAGAUUUCAAGUAUAGCGAAACAAUGAAGUAACAAGUAUGUGAGUAAUACACUCACCAAUCAAGCAAGGAAAAGAUUUCACAGAUUGCGGUCCAACGAGCGCCUAGCGUCACCGGCAUGCCCUAAACCAUACAAGUAACCAUAAUGAGACCCGAAUAUGAGUCAUAAACCGAUUCUACAAACUACUAUAAAAAGACCAAAUAGAACGUAUAAGUGCAAAAUCAACUAGGGCAUGUGCGGAAAUAAAGUUUAGGUUGAAAAACAAAAAGGCAGAUUUGCUGUUGUUUAGCGGAAUUAACACAACUGAAGCUACGUUUGUCGGAUUGAGGUGCAAUAUACACCGUUUCGAAGCUAAGAAAAAGGGUUACAAUGUUGAAGAAGGCCACUCAGUCCAGUUUGUAAUGUAACCAGGUCAAAAUUUCACUGUACCAAACCAGAAUUGCAGAAACAGGUUAGCUAACCGCAUUCUGGUUAAAUGACCGUAACUCAAGCUACCGAUGUCCAAACGAGGUGAUUCCAGGGGCGUUGGAAAGCUAAGACACCAGGCUAUAUUUUUUAAGACGAUAUUGACAACCAAAUCAGUAGUAUUCCCGGUCAACUAACCAAUUACAGAAACAGAUUAUCAGUUUCAGACAGAAACAGGGCAGCAGGCGUAUUUCAGUCUUUUCACAGGCUACGGUUCUCCGAUUGGCCUGAAAUUUUGUAGCCAACUAUAAAACAUCAUUUUCUACAACUUUUAUGUUUUAACCUAAGGCUAAUUAAGCCUCUAUCCUAGUCAAAUAGUACCGGGCAGAACAGGGUUAAUAGAAACCCUAAUCUGAAAUUUUUGCUUCAAACCAGAAAUUUUCCACUAAUCACUACAAUUAUCAUACCAAAGCUUCAUUCUAACCCAUACUAGACCAUCAUACAUGGCCAAUCAACAUUAAACAUAGAAAAAUAGAAAAAUUAUGCAUAAAAUCUAAAAUUCAUCAAACACCACCAAAAGUCAUGAAAACCUCCACAAAAUCACCUAACUAACCUUCACAAGUCAUGAAUUCAUCAUUAUCAAAGCCAAAGAUGGAAGUUCUUGGCUACUCACCUUGAAAUCCCAAGAGUGGAAGCAACUUUACACCACUAUCUUUCAACCCACUUCACCUAGUACUUCCCUACCACCUAGCUAAGGAUUUUUAUGGAGUGAUUUGAAAUUUUAUCGGUUAAAUUGUGAGAUUGAGCAAGAUUGAGUAGAAGAAAUUUGAUAGAUUUUCUUUCUUUUGCUCUCCAAGAAACUCGGCCAAGAGAGGGAAAAAUAAGAGGAUUUUUGGCCAAUUUUUGGUAUUUCUUUGGUAAAGGUGGUAAGAUGGUCUUAUGGUCAAAUUCUAAGUCCAAUAGCAAAGUGACAUUUGUCCCUCUCUUUAAUGCUAGGUUAUCCUUUUGUCUCUCCACUCUCAUCCAUAUAACAACCUCUAACUAACUCUUAGUGAUGUGAAUCCCCGAUCUAGACAACCAAAACACCAUGGCUUAGGCAGCGGAAAUUUGACCCAACUAAUCCCUAGAAGUCACGAACUUGUUGAUACUAUCUCAACCCGUAACUACUCGAAUUAACGAACAUCCCUAGAAAUCACGAACAAUUUUGAUAUUAUCUCAACCCGUGACUACUCGAAUUAACGAACCAAAUUGGAGGUAGUAGAACGCCACAAUCAAGGAGACUACUUGAUUGAUAAGUUUGAUGAACAACUUGAGAAUGAUUCUCAAGUAUUCAAAGGAAAUUCUCUUGAGGCAAGAGAGAGUGAAAAACUCACAUAUAUUUUAUAAAAUCUGAAUCGUUCUUUAAUGAAUGAAAACCUUGGCUAUAUAUAGCCUUACAGGGCUCAAACCCUAGAAUGUCCAAUGGACGACCUUGCCCUUCAUUAAUGGUGACACUAAGUGCUUUAAGUGUCAAGGUUUUGGUCACAUCGCGUCCCAAUGCCCAAACCGAAGGGCCAUGCUCAUGCUUCCAAGUGGUGAAGUGCUAACGGAUGAGGAGGAUGAGUAUGAAGGCAUGCCACCAUUGGUUGAGGAAGAAGAGAUAAUUGCCCCUGACCAACCAGUUGGACUAGGCCUUGUCACAAGGUUGGCAUUGAGUGCUCAACGCACAAAUGAAGAAGAGCAGCGUACCAACAUCUUCUACACCCGAUGUCUAGUUAACGGGAAAGUGUGUAGCUUAAUUAUCGACGGGGGAAGUUGUACCAAUGUCGCCAGUGCCUUAUUUGUCAAGAAGUUACACUUACCUGUCCAAGAUCACCCUACACCAUAUAAGCUUCAAUGGUUUAGUGAUUGCGGCGAAGUGCGAGUGUCCAAGCAGGUUUCUGUGAAGUUUAACAUUGGGAGAUAUGAGGAUGAGUUGGUGUGUGACGUGGUUCCUAUGCAAGCUGCCCAUCUUAUUCUUGGAAGACCUCGGCAAUUUGAUCGCGAGGUUACUUAUGAAGGUCAUUCCAACAAAUACUCGUUCAUGCAUAAAGGGACAAGGGUCAUACUUGUUCCACUCUCACCUACACAAGUUCGAGAGGACCAAAAUGUUUUACAGAGGGAAUGGGAGUUGGAUCGAUUAGAAGGCAAGGAAAGGAAAGGGCGAACAUUGAUCAUGCUCGCUAAACCGGAGGACAACAUCAGGCACUGGGAGUUGGAUCGUUCCACCUUUGUGGUGUUUAACGUGUUUUCAUUUGUACAGGUUGUACGUGGUCAGAUAUCCUUCCUCUUGCAGUGUGCAAUACCCGCAACCAUCGAGAUCUGUGCAAGGAGUGCUGGUCCAGUAAUUCCAACCAGCACUAGUCGGGUUACAUUGGCCUUUGAUGCCAUUUUUGCACGUCUUGAUGCGUACAACGCGCAGCCCAACCAAACCUUGGUUCACCGGGCGUCCGCUCACGGUCCACCCAUAGGCUUGAGACGUCACUUGUGUGCCCAUUAUCAUGGAACUCUUGCUGUCCGCAACAUGUAUCUACCACCACCACGAGUUUUCCUGGUGUCCCACAAGGGUGUCCUGAUCUUUCUUCGCUUGAGAAGGCGACAUGCAGGCUGCUUGGUGACUAUACACAUGCUCUCAUCACUUUUGUUUUGUAAGAAGAGUCAUGAUUUGGGGACAAAUCGCCUUUAAGAGGAGGGGAAUGAUGAGAAUAUAAAGACCAAGGCCCAUUCAAUGAUGAGAAUAUAAAGACCAAGGUCCAUUCCAGAUUGGAAGAUUCAAGUGAAGACUAGUUCGCGGAGUACUAGCUUGCUAAUUUGGGUUUUAAUUACCAUUAUUAGUUGUUUGUUAGCAUUAAUAAUUUCGGUCAAUUUUCCCUUCACUUUGGCCGAAUUUAGAGUCUUAAUUUUAGUUAAUUAGUUGUUAGAUAUUUUCACCAUUAAUGAAGGGCAAGGUCGUCCAUUGGACAUUCUAGGGUUUGAGUCCUGUAAGGCUAUAUAUAGCCAAGGUUUUCAUUCAUUAAAGAAGAAUUCAGAUUUUAUAAAAUAUAUGUGAGUUUUUCACUCUCUCUUGCCUCAAGAGAAUUUCCUUUGAAUACUUGAGAAUCAUUCUCAAGUUGUUCAUCGAACUUAUCAAUCAAGUAGUCUCCUUGAUUGUGGCGUUCUACUACCUCCAAUUUGGUUCGUUAAUUCGAGUAGUUACGGGUUGAGAUAAUAUCAAAAUUGUUCGUGACUUCUAGGGAUUAGUUGGGUCAAAUUUCCGCUGCCUAAGCCAUGGUGUUUUGGUUGUCUAGAUCGGGGAUUCACAUCAGCUGGUUGUCCGAUGGUUGCGGGUAUUGCACACUGCAAGAGGAAGGAUAUCUGACCACGUACAACCUGCACAAAUGAAAACACGUUAAACACCACAAAGGUGGAACGAUCCAACUCCCAGUGCCUGAUGUUGUCCUCCGGUUUAGCGAGCAUGAUCAAUGUUUGCCCUUUCCUUUCCUUGCCUUCUAAUCGAUCCAACUCCCAUUCCCUCUGUAAAACAUUUUGGUCCUCUCGAACUUGUGUAGGUAAGAGUGGAACAAGUAUGACCCUUGUCCCUUUAUGCAUGAACGAGUAUUUGUUGGAAUGACCUUCAUAAGUAACCUCGCGAUCAAAUUGCCGAGGUCUUCCAAGAAUAAGAUGGGCAGCUUGCAUAGGAACCACGUCACACACCAACUCAUCCUCAUAUCUCCCAAUGUUAAACUUCACAGAAACCUGCUUGGACACUCGCACUUCGCCGCAAUCACUAAACCAUUGAAGCUUAUAUGGUGUAGGGUGAUCUUGGACAGGUAAGUGUAACUUCUUGACAAAUAAGGCACUGGCGACAUUGGUACAACUUCCCCCGUCGAUAAUCAAGCUACACACUUUCCCGUUAACUAGACAUCGGGUGUAGAAGAUGUUGGUACGCUGCUCUUCUUCAUUUGUGCGUUGAGCACUCAAUGCCAACCUUGUGACAAGGCCUAGUCCAACUGGUUGGUCAGGGGCAAUUAUCUCUUCUUUCUCAACCAAUGGUGGCAUGCCUUCAUACUCAUCCUCCUCAUCCGUUAGCACUUCACCACUUGGAAGCAUGAGCAUGGCCCUUCGGUUUGGGCAUUGGGACGCGAUGUGACCAAAACCUUGACACUUAAAGCACUUAGUGUCACGGUUUCUAGGUUUAGAUGCCCCUAGAUCUGCCUUAAAUUCGGCCCUUUGGAUCGGUUUUGAAGAUGACGAACCAGCCACCCAUGCUCCAUUCGAAACCCCACUUGCCCUGGCUGACUUUUGUUCGCUCGUGUGGGUAAGCUCGCCUUUGUACGGUGGAGGUCUCCAAUUUCCAGAUUGGACGCUGGAGCUUUGGUGAGGAAUACCCCUCCUCUUGAGCCUCCUUUCCACCUUGACGGCUUUGUCCAAUAAUUCAUCCAUGUCAAGAUAAUGUUGGAGCUCCACAACAUCUGCAAUUUCAGCGUGUAGUCCUCUCAAGAAACGUGCCACGGUUGCUUCUAUAUCCUCCCGAACAUCAGCCCGUAGCAUGGCCAUCUCCAUCUCCUUGAAGUAAUCCUCAACUGUCAAACUUCCUUGGGUGAGAGUUUGCAAUUUAUGGUGCAAAUCCCUGUGGUAAUACGCUGGUAUGAAGCGCUUCCUCAUGAUCCUUUUGAGUUCUUCCCAUGUUCGGAUAAUUGGCUCUUCCUCCCUUCUUUGUUUGAUGCGAAGUUGAUCCCACCAAAUAGAGGCAUAAUCCGUAAAUUCAAGGGCUGCCAACUUCACCUUUUGAGACUCCGUGUAAUGGUUACAAUCGAAAAUCAGUUCAAUCCUCCUCUCCCAAUCUAGGUAUGCUUCGGGAUCCGACUUGCCUUGGAAGGAAGGGAUUUUAAGUUUAAUCCCUUUUAUUUCAUCCUCCACAGGUCCAGUAUCUCUCCUCGGUUUCCUUGGCUCAUAGUCAAAUUCACACUCAGAGUUAGAGUCAUGAAGUUCAAGUGCAGGUCUAUCACGGCUCCUUGGGUUUUGGUGACUUCGUCUAGAGCUACUUUGGAACUCCUCCAACCUGCCAAGUCGUUCAUUCAUGGCCUCAAAUUUUUGAUCCAUAAGGCGCCCCAGUUCUCCUUUCAAACUUUCUGCCAAACGUGAGAAAUCGAAGGCCGACGUACUUUCUCCUUCGUUCGACAUAUUCAACUGCAAGAAACGGUUAGCGAAAAAAAUAGAAAAGGUACCUCACUUCACUCCCUCACGUGUUUCGCUCACCCUCGUGUAUCACUCAAGUGUAUCAACCGCUCUAAUAAUCUCACAAAGCUCUUCCCAAGUCACUCAAGUACUCCUCUUGAAGAAAUAAAAAUUUCCCCAAUGUGUUCGCUCAAACCUUCACCAAGAAUCAGAAACAAUACUCUAAAACACACCAACAAAUACCAGAAUUAAUUUCCGGAAAACAACGACAGAAUUUAUGGAAGUAUGGACUUGACAAUAGACGCAAUGUAGAAGACUACACCAAUUUGAUGACUGGACUGAUUUUUUUUUGUUUUUGGCCGCAACACAAUUUUUUUUUUUUUUGACUUGAUAAUUGAAAACUUGAAGAUGCGGCAAUUAAAGAGAGUAUCAACUAGACAGAAACAAUACUGUAUUCAGCAGCAACUAGACAAUAACAGACAGCAAGGAACAAGGAAAACUAAUGACAGGAACCUUUUUUUUUUUUUAUUAAAACAACAAGGUGAAAUAAUGGUCAGCUAGAGUGUUCUUCGCUUGUGACUUGGCUGGCCGCCUUUUAAGUUGUGUAUGGCCGACCAAAGCAGGCAACCAAAUUUAAUGCAACACAGCUUCAGCUAAGGGAAAUAUUUAUGUAUGGCCGACAAAAACAAGUAAUCAGAUUUCAUGCAACUCAGGUUUCACUUGUCAAAGGGCCACUCGGAUUUCAUGCAAAUCAGUUUUCAUGCACUACUAAUUUACACCAAAUACCCUGUGGAAUUGUUUCCAAACUCACGACUACCAAGAUGGUUUCGCUUCCUAAUCAAGGGUGAACCCCCAAACAGCCCAAGGCUCACGGAUGGCAAGGAAAAACAAAUUCUGGACAGCCCACAAUGGAGACAAAGGAAACAACUCAGGUUUCUUGCACGACAAAGGAGACCAAUCAGAUUUCAUGCAAUUGCCGUUUACACCACUACCAAUUUGUAUUAUGGCCGACCAAGAAAGGAAACAAAAAAAAACAAUCAGAUUCAGCAAAUCAGAUUCAGCUAAGGAAUUCGGCUCUUGAUUCGGCCAAGGGAAAUCCAAACAGGCCACACACUUGCCAAUUUUCUCCUCACAGCCCACAAAGCUCACAAAUUAUGAGUAGAUAAUUUCGGACAAGCAGCCGCUUCCCUCUCUCUCUCCUUUUUUUUUUCGUUUCAAGACGCCUCUAGAACAACCCUAAUGACUCCCACGGACAACCCUCCAGUUGUGGCAGCCGCACACAAACACAACACGCACGAUGGCAGAUUCGACUCAAGACAACAAAAGAGAGACGCAAAACAGAAAUUUUCACGUAAGGCCUGGAGGAAACAAUUGCGGACUGACCUUGAACAGAUUGUAGCCGCUUUCGGACAGAAAAUUUGUCUCUCAACCACGACAAGCUACAUCAAACUUGUGCGGACAGAUUAGAGACACUUGAACAGAUUUUUUUUUUUUUUUUUUUGGAAUGAAGGCUCAAACGGACAGACCUGGACACGACUUCAACAACAAGGUGAGAAGCAAGUGCAGACAGAAUUUAGUUCAACAACUCCACGACCAGAAAUUUAACAAUGACCAGAAAAAAUUUUUUUUUGACACACGAGAUCAGAUUUAAUAACAAACGAAUAUGACUCGAAACAAAGCGGAAAGGAAGGAUAUAACCUGAUGGUUGUCGACUAGCUCUGAUUACCAAUUGAUGUGAAUCCCCGAUCUAGACAACCAAAACACCAUGGCUUAGGCAGCGGAAAUUUGACCCAACUAAUCCCUAGAAGUCACGAACAAUUUUGAUAUUAUCUCAACCCGUAACUACUCGAAUUAACGAACCAAAUUGGAGGUAGUAGAACGCCACAAUCAAGGAGACUACUUGAUUGAUAAGUUCGAUGAACAACUUGAGAAUGAUUCUCAAGUAUUCAAAGGAAAUUCUCUUGAGGCAAGAGAGAGUGAAAAACUCACAUAUAUUUUAUAAAAUCUGAAUUGUUCUUUAAUGAAUGAAAACCUUGGCUAUAUAUAGCCUUACAGGACUCAAACCCUAGAAUGUCCAAUGGACGACCUUGCCCUUCAUUAAUGGUGAAAAUAUCUAACAACUAAUUAACUAAAAUUAAGACUCUAAAUUCGGCCAAAGUGAAGGGAAAAUUGACCGAAAUUAUUAAUGCUAACAAACAACUAAUAAUGGUAAUUAAAACCCAAAUUAGCAAGCUAGUACUCCGCGAACUAGUCUUCACUUGAAUCUUCCAAUCUGGAAUGGGCCUUGGUCUUUAUAUUCUCAUCAUUGAAUGGGCCUUGGUCUUUAUAUUCUCAUCACUUAGCACCUAGUAAAUUAAUCCCAAUAUCCCAAACUGAACCUAAUUGGCCGAAUUUUUCACACUAGCGGGUCCCACGUCCGGUAUACACUCUUAAUUUCUCAAAACCUAACCGAUACUAGAAAAAUAAUCUAAAACCUAUACUUACUCAUAAAAAUUAUCUAGAAAAAUUUUCCUACCAAAGAAAAUGUAGAAAGGGCGUGCAAUUAAAUAAAAUAAAACCUAGAAAAUAAGAAAAUUCACGGCCCUCACAGUUGGGCAGGCGGUUCGCCGAACCCUUUAAUUAGCCUUAGGGUGAGGUGAGGUUAUCACAACCGGAUCCGAACGACAAGAUAAACACGUGUGGUAAUUCUCGAGCAUACCGAUUAGUCGAGAAAAUAGCACUCCACUCAGCAAAACAAGAGACCCAGGGUUCAUUAUCUAAUCGACCAGACCCUUGCUGGUUCGACUCGAGUAACUAGCCACAGGGUUUCUAGAAUUCCAGAGAGUGCGCACAUUAUACACAAGUAUAUCAAGUCAAUUGCAACAAAUAAACAAAUAUAUAUCAAAUUAGGGCAAGUGCGAUAAAGUACAUCCUUGUCCAACCAAACCAAGCAAAUAUUAUCCAAUAAAGUUCAAUCAUGUAUUUGGAAGUACUUACCAAAGACUUAGUGCUUGUCAAAAUCACGCUCAAGUACAACUCCUUGGUUGGAGUCCAAAUUUGCGAUAAAAUAUCAUUUAAGAGUUUAUAAUCCACUAGGGUUCGAAACAUAGGUGUUUCGCUUCAACAAAAUUAAGUAAAUGAAACUUAUUUAAGUAAUAGUUAUAUGGCUUGGCAAACUCUAGAAAAUUCAUGCUCGCUCUUUUAAUUUCGAUAAAGAAGUGAUUUAUACUUUGGAAGUCGCACUUGGUAUGAAAAUCGAGAAAAUCGUAUUUUUAAGGGUCGCUACUUUUACUUUUUAAAGGGUACGACUUUCGACAAAAAUUUCAUCUUAUGUACCUCUUACUAAAGAAAACUCGAAUACCAUAAACAAGCGAAAUUCGCUUCAAUCUCGAGUUCACUUGCCUAACCCUCGAGAGAAAAUUUGGGCAGCAUACCCUUUGUAUUUAUCCAUUUUUCCAUCUAAAUACAACUUGGAUUCACAAACCAUCAAACCUCCAAUCCAACCACAAGUGAUAAUCAACAAAAUAUAUCUAUUCAAGGCCUCAAAGCCAACCAAACAAACCAAAUAAUAAACUUAUCACCAUGGAUAUCAAAGUUGGAAACCAGUUUAAAGAAGAACUUAUAAAUGGCAGAUUUGUCAUCCUUCGGUGUUUUGGUCAUAACUGUAGUUAGGUAUAUCAGAUCAAGGUAAAUUUUAUGGCAUUUUGAAAUUAAGACAUAGACCUACAUUUUCUAUGAAGAUAUCGACACCCAAUUCUCGCAUUUUUAGGAUGAAAAUUGGACGAGUAGAAACAUAUGAAAAACAGGUCAGGAAAAUUAGAGGUUUUGCGUAGUUGGGAGUGCUCUGGCCAAAUCAUAAGCUAAAAUGAUCCCAUUGAUCUGAAAUUUUGCAGAACUCAAAUCCCUAUAGCUUUCAUGUUUUGUCCAAAAGUUGAUUCAGUCUAAAACAUGGAGAAAUUCGCAGCCUAAGUUGAUUCCAAAAAUAUGGCUAAACUGACAUUCACCACCAAAUGCUGGAAUUUUGCAUAUCAACCCUAAAACUACUCAUCGAAGCUGAAAAUUGCUUGACAAAACUGAAAUUUCAUCUUUUAACGCUAAAUAUCACAAUCAAGCCACUUAUCAUCUCACAAAUUUCAUUUUCAAGGUCAAUACCAACAUAUUAGAGAUAAACAUCAUAAAUCAAAAUUGAAAAAUUACAAAUCUUAGAUGAAAUUCGCUAAUCUUUACCAAAACUAGAGUAUCAUCCAACAUAAUUCAAGAUUCAAAAUAUCUGUCUCAUAUUUUGCUAAAACAAGAAAGAAAAAGGAAGUUUUAGACUUAUAUCUUCCAAAACACUUGAAGAAAGUGAAGAACCAAGCUAUUUCUCUCCAAACAACUCCACAACAAGCUUCUUUAGCUCCUUGGUGCUAGUUUAAUCGGUUUAGUUUUGUGGUUUCAACUCAAACAAGGCAAGAUUCAAGAUUGGAGUUGGAGGUUUUCUCUCUUGUUUUUCUCUCCCAAUUUUCGGCCAACACAAGAAGAGCAUAAAGAAAAAUGAACCAAGAAGAAAAAAAACUUGUUUGGUCAACCAACCCUUGGAUCUUUGACACUUGUCAAAGCCAAGUUUUCUCCUUUUUUUUCCUUUUCCUCAGUCAACAAAGAUGGCUGGAUUAAGAGGUAAUUUAAGGAGGAUUAGACGAAAUAAAAAUAAGAAGAUUAGGGUAAGAAAGUAGUGAUCAAGUGAUGUACUCAAUCGAUAACAAACGGUACACGUCGGCUCAAGAUUAUUUUCUUUAACUCGCUCGUACUUAUGUUUUAACUUAUGAUUCACUAACUUAUUAAUAGCAUUUCUAAUCACACACUUUCUCUUAUCUAAAACUCACUCUUAACCACCAAAUUUAGUACACACAUCUCACCAAGUGAUCGCACGGCCAAAAAUACGUAAAAAUCCUAAUUUACCCUAACUAUAAAAGUAAAGAUAAAACUCUCGAUUUUAUUAUUUAUUACAACUAGGGAGGGAGUAAUUUAGUGGUAAAGAUAUUAUAAAGUAACUUAUUCAAAAUAAAAGGGUAUUAUAAGAAAAAUAUAGGUGAAUUUUCAAGUCGUCACACUCUCUUCCCCUUAAAAGAUUUUCGAUCUUGAAAUUCAUAAAUUUAGUCGUAACCAACUCAGGGUAUUUUUCUUGCAUGUCCGUCUCUAGCUCUCAGGUCUCACCAUAGCCAAAAUUUUAGCCAGACAAUGGGAAACAUGAAUCGUACCUUCUACCACUCUAGCACCCCUGAUUUCGCCAACCUCCAUCUCUCUUUUGAAAAAUGAUACACUAUAUAGAUAUAAGCAAAAGAAAUGAGCUAUAAAGUUCGAUAAAAGAAAUUUCAAAUCAUAAAAUGAAAAUAAUAUAGCACAUUUAAAAUAAAACAUUCUCCUUAUAUAUAUGAUCACAUACCUUAUGGGACAUGAACUCCAAAUAUUGUUCAAACACUACACUUAAUCAAAACUUGAAAAAGUACAACCAGGUAUGUACACUUGAAUAAUAAGGGUCCCAAAUCUCACUAAUAUUUUCAAUAUCUCCCAAGUCCAAACUAUUCGCAUUCCCCGUAUCUUGGCUUUCGCCAUCCAGACUUAUCCUAAAAUUAUUCGGGAUAUCGACUUAUCAUAAAGGUAUCUCUCUUUGGUAAUCGGGUACAAGAAUCCGAAAAUAUGAUAAUCCAUCACUUGAGUUAGCUAGUCUCAAAAGAAAAUCAACUACUUUUGAAAUUCCUACCCAACAUACAUAUCUAAGGUCCCCAACAAUAGACAUUUGUUCCACACUUAACAAACCAAUCCCCACAGUCCGAGAACCCUCUCCCGACACGAGCUCGAUAAGAGCUCUGAUACCAUCUGUGUCGACCCCACCCCCCCUUAGUUCAUACCCUAGGGUUUAGCGGACCGCUUGUCCAACUCUCGUCAGGACUCGCUCACUUACGUGAAAUAAAAUAGUUCACAACCUCAAGCGUAAAUGGAAUAAUAGUUCUCAAGUUUGGAACAUAUAUGUACAUUCAUCUCUAGUCCAAACAUUCAUACAAUUCCAAAUAUAACAAAAGAUAUGAAUUCCAGAUACAUUCAACCCUAACUGAGCACUAGCACGAAUACAAUCGCAAAAAUUCAAAAACCAGACUAUGCUAGUCUGUACCAGUCUCACGCUCUCGCUCGUACCUCUUGUAAGAAAAACAAAUUUAACGGAAUAGAGUGAGCUAAAACUCAGUGAGGUUUCAAAACUUCAUGCAGAUCCAAGUAGCAAGUUGGCCAUAUGUAAAAUUUGAACUCUUAAAAUAAGCGAGUGUGAAAGUUCAGAAAAAGAAACAAUAACACGACAAGUAAUAAUUAUUUCAAAGAUAAGGAUACAGAUGGUUUUUGAAGAGCCAAAUUUCCGUUGCUUCCUCAUAACUUGAUCGAGUAGUAGUUGACACUCCAUCAACUUUUAAAUAAAGUAACUAGUCCAGUAGUACACCACUUUAACUUCAAUCUCCGUCCACCAAUCAACCCCCUUACCGGACCCGAACGACAAGAUAAACACGUGUGGUAAUACUAGAACAUGCCGAUUAGUCGAGAAGAUAAUACUCCACUCGAUAAAACAAGAAACCCAGGGCUUAUUACCUAAUCGACCAGGCCCUUGCCGACUCGACUCGAGUAACUAGCCAUAGGUUUUCUGGAAUUCCAGAGAGUGCGCACAUUAUAAACAAGUAUAUCAAGUCAAUUGCAACAAAUAAACAAGUAUAUAUCACAUUAGUGCAAGUGUGAUAAAGUACACCCUUGUCCGACCAAACCAAGCAAAUAUUAUCCGAUAAAGUUCAAUCAUGUAUUUGGAAGCACUCACCAAAGACUUAGUGCUUGUCAAAAUCGUGCUCAAGUGCAACUCCUUUCUUGGAGUCCAAAUCUGCGAUAAAAUAUUAUUUAAGAGUUUAAAAUCCACUAGGGUUCGAAACAUAGGAGUUUCAAUUCAAGAAAAUCAAGAAAAUGAAACUUAUUUAAGUAGUAGUUAUAUGGUUUGGCAACUGUAGAAAAUUCACGCUCGCUCUUUAAUUUCGAUGAAGAAGUGAUUUAUACUUUGGAAGUCGCACUUGGUAUGAAAAUUGAGAAAAUCGUAUUUUUAAGAGUCGCUACUUUUACUUUUUAAAGGGUAUGAGUUUCGACAAAAAUUUCAACUUAUAUACCUCUUACUAAAGAAAACUCGAAUACCAUAAACAAGCGAAGUUCGCUUCAAUCUCGUGUCGUCGCUCAAGUCUCGAGUUCACUUGCCUAACCCUCGAGCGAAAAUUUGGGCAGCAUGCCCUUUGUAUUUAUCCAUUUUUCCAUCCAAGUACAACUUGGAUUCACAAGCCAUCAAACCUCCAAUCCAACCACAAGUAAUAACCAACAAAAUAUAUCUAUUCAAGGCCUCAAACCAACCAAACAAAUCAAAUAAUAAACUUAUCACCAUGGAUAUCAAAGUUGAAAACCAGUUUAAAGAAGAACUUAUAAAUGACAGAUUUGUCAUCCUUUGGUGUUUUGGUCAUAACUGUAGUUGGGUAUAUCGGAUUGAGGUAAAUUUUAUAGCAUUUCGAAACUAAGACAUCGACACCCAAUUCUCGCAUUUUUAGGAUAAAAAAUGGACGGGUAAAAACACAUGAAAAACAGGUCAGGAAAAUUAGAGGUUUUCCUCAGUCGGGAGUGCUCGAGCCAAAUCAUAAGUUAAAAUGAUCCAAUUAAUCUGAAAUUUUGCAAGUAGAAAGCUAACUCAAAUCCCUAUAACUUUCAUUUUUUGUCCAGAAGCUGAUUCACUCUAAAAUAUGGAGAAAUUUGCAUAUCGACCCUAAAACUACUCAUCGAAGCUUAAAAUUGCUUGACAAAACUGAAAUUUUAUCUUUUAACGCUAAAUAUCACAAUCAACCCGCUAAUCAUCUCAUAAAUUCCAUUUCCAAGUUCAAUACCAAUAUAUUAGAGAUAAACAUCGUAAAUCAAAACUGAAAAAUCACAAAUCUUAGAUGAAAUUCGCUAAUCUUCACCAAAACUAGAGUAUCAUCCAACAUAAUUCCAGAUUCAAGACAUCUAUCCCAUUUUUUUGGUAAACAAGAAAAAAAAAAGAAAGUUUUAGACUUAUACCUUCCAAAACACUUGAAGAAAGUGAAGAACCAAGCUAUUUCUCUCCAAACAACUCCAGAACAAGCUUCCUUAGCUCCUUGGUGCUAGUUUAAUCGGUUUAGUUUUGUGGUUUCAAUUGAAAUAAGGCAAGAUUCAAGAUUGGAGUUGGAGGUUUUCUCUCUUGUUUUUCUCUCCCAAUUUUCGGCCAACACAAGAAGAGAAUGAAAAAAAAUGAACCAAGAAGAAGGAAAAGAAGAAAAAAAACUCGUUUGGUCAACCAACCCUUGGAUCUUUGAUACUUGUCAAAGCCAAGUUUUCUCCUUUUUUUUCCUUUUCCUCAGUCAACAAAGAUGGCUGGAUUAAGAGGUAAUUUAAGGAGGAUUAGACGAAAUAAAAACAAGAAGAUUAGGGUAAGAAAGUAGUGAUCAAGUGGUGUACUCAAUCGAUAACAACCGGUACACGUCAGCUCAAGAUUAUUUUCUUUAACUCGCUCGUACUUAUGUUUUAAAUUAUGAUUCACUAACUUAUUAAUAGCAUUUCUAAUCACACACUUUCUCUUAUCUAAAACUCACUCUUAACCACCAAAUUUAGUAUACACGCCUCACCAAGUGAUCACACGGCCAAAACACGCGAAAAUCCUAGUUUAGCCUAACUAUAAAAGUAAAAAUAAAACUCUCGAUUUUAUUAUUUAUUACAACUAGGGAGGGAGUAAUUUAGUAGUAAAGAUAUUAUAAAGUAACUUAUUCAAAAUAAAAGGGUAUUAUAAGAAAAAUGUAGGUGAAUUUUCAAGUCGUCACACUCUCUCCCCCUUAAAAGAUUUUCGAUCUCGAAAUUCAUACAUUUAGUCGUAACUAAUUCAGGGUAUUUUUCUUGCAUGUCCGUCUCUAACUCUCAGGUCUCACCAUAACCAAAAUUUUAGCCAAAUAAUGGGAAACAUAAAUCAUACCUUCUACCACUUUAGCACCCCUGACUUCACCUACCCUCCAUGUCUCUUUUGAAAAACGAUACACUAUAUAGAUAUAAGCAAAAGAAAGGAAUUAUAAAGUUCGAUAAAAGCAAUUUCAAAUCAUAAAAUGAAAAUAAUAUAGCACAUUUAAAAUAAAAUAUUCUCCUUAUAUAUAUGGUCACAUACCUUAUGGGACAUUAACUCCAAGUAUUGCUCAAACAUAACACUUAAUCAAAACUCGAAAAAAUACAACCGGGUAUGUAUACUUGAAUAAUAAGGGUCCCAAAUCUCACUAAUAUCUUCAAUAUCUCCUAAAUCAAGACUAUUCGCAUUCCCCGUAUCUUGGCUUUCCCCAUCCACACUUAUCCUAAUAUUAUUCGGGAUAUCGACUUAUCAUAAAGGUAUCACUCUUUGUUACUCGGGUACAAUAAUCCGAAAAUAUGAUAAUCCACCACUUGAGUUAGCUAGUCUCAAGCGAAAAUCAAUCACUUUUGAAAUUCCUACCCAAAAUACAUAUUUAAGAUCCCCAACAAUAGACAUUUGUUCCACACUUAACAAGUCAAUCCCCACAGUCCGAGAACCCUCUCCCGACACGAGCUCGAUAAGAGCUCUGAUACCAUCUGUGACGACCCCACCUCUCCCUAGGGUGUACCCCAGACUUUAACGGACCGCCUGCCCAACUCUCGCAGGACUCGCUCACUUACGUCAAAUAAAAUAGUUCACAACUUCAAGCGUAAAUAGAAUAACAGUUCCCAAGUUUGGAACAUACAUGUACAUUCAUCUCUAGUCCAAACAUUCAUACAAUCCCAAAUAUAACAAAAGAUAUGAAUUCCAGAUACAUUCAACCCUAAUCGAGCACUAGCGCGAAUACAAUCGCAAAAAUUCAAAAACUAGACUAUGCUAGCCUGUACCAGUCUCAUGCCCUCACUCGUACCUCCUGUAAGGAAAACAAAUUUAACGGAAUAUAGUGAGUUAAAGCUCAGUGAGGUUUCAAAACUUCAUGCAAACCCAAGUAGCAAAUUGGUCAUAUGUAAAACUUGAACUCUUAAAAUGAGCGAGUGUAAAAGUUCAUAAAAAAAAUAACAGGACAAGUAAUAAUUAUUUCAAAGAUAAGGAUACAUAUGGCUUUCAAGAGCCAAAUUCCCACUGCUUCAUCAUAACUUAAUCAAGUAGUAGUUGACACUCCCUCAACUUUCAAGUAAAGUAACCAUUCUAGUAGUACACCACUUUAACUUCAAUCUCCGUCCACCAAUCAGCCCCCUUACCGGACCCGAACGACAAAAUAAACACGUGUGGUAAUACUCGAACAUACCGAUUAGUCGAGAAGAUAGCACUCUACUCGACAAAACAAGAGACCCAGGGUUCAUUACCUAAUCGACCAGGCCCUUGCCGGCUCAACUCGAGUAAGUAGCCACAGGGUUUCUGAAAUUCCAGAGAGUGCGCAUAUUAUAUACAAGUAUAUCAAGUCAAUUGCAACAAAUAAACAAGUAUAUAUCACAUUAGAGCAAGUGUGAUAAAAUACACCUUUAUCCGACCAAACCAAGCAAAUAUUAUCCGAUAAAGUUCAAUCAUGUAUUUGGAAGCACUCAUCAAAGACUUAGUGCUUGUCAAAAUCACGCUCAAGUACAACUCCUUGGUUGGAAUCCAAAUCUGUGAUAAAAUAUCAUUUAAAACCUUAAAAUCCACUAGGGUUCGAAACAUAGGAGUUUCGCUUCAAGAAAAUCAAGUAAAUGAAACUUAUUUAAGUUGUAGUUAUAUGGCUUGGCAAACUCUAGAAAAUUUAUGCUCGCUCUUUUAAUUUCGAUAAAGAAGUGAUUUAUACUUUGGAAGUCGCACUUGGUAUGAAAAUCGAGAAAAUCGUAUUUUUAAGAGUCGCUACUUUUACUUUUUAAAGGGUAUGAGUUUCGGCAAAAAUUUCAACUUAUGUACCUCUUACUAAAGAAAACUCGAAUACCAUAAACAAGCGAAGUUCGCUUCAAUCUCGUGUCGUCGCUCAAGUCUCGAGUUCACUUGUCUAACCCUCGAGCAAAAAUUUGGGCAGCAUGCCCUUUGUAUUUAUCCAUUUUCCCAUCCAAGUACAACUUGGAUUCACAAGCCAUCAAACCUCCAAUCCAACCACAAGUAAUAACCAACAAAAUAUAUCUAUUCAAGGCCUCAAACCAACCAAACAAAUCAAAUAAUAAAAUUAUCACCAUGGAUAUCAAAGUUGAAAACCAGUUUAAAGAAGAACUUAUAAAUGGCAGAUUUGUCAUCCUUCGGUAUUUUGGUCAUAACUGUAGUUAGGUAUAUCGGAUCGAGGUAAAUUUUAUGGCAUUUUGAAAUAAGAUAUAGAAUUACAUUUCCUAUGAAGACAUUGACACCCAGUUCUCGCAUUUUUAGGAUAAAAAAAGGACGGGUAGAAACACAUGAAAAACAUGUCAGGAAAAUUAGAGGUUUUACGCAGUCGGGAGUGUUCUGACCAAAUCAUAAGCUAAAAUGAUCCAAUUGAUCUGAAAUUUUGCAGGUAGAAUGUUAACUCAAAUCCCUAUAAUUUCCAUGUUUUGUCAAAAAACUGAUUCAAUCUAAAACAUGGAGAAAUUCGCAGCCCAAUUUGAUUCCAAAAACAGGGCAUAACUGAUAUUCACCACCAAAUGCUGGAAUUUUGCAUAUCAACCCUAAAACUACUCAUCGAAACUGAAAAUUGCUUGACAAAGCUGAAAUUUCAUCUUUUAAUGCUAAAUAUCACAAUCAAGCUGCUAAUCAUCUCACAAAUUCCAUUUCCAAGCUCAAUACCAGUAUAUUAGAGAUAAACAUCAUAAAUCAAAACUGAAAAAUCACAAAUCUUAGAUGAAAUUCGCUAAUCUUCACCAAAACUAGAGUAUCACCCAACAUAAUUCCAAAUUCAAGACAUCUAUCCCAUUUUUUUGCUAAAACAAGAAAGAAAAAGGAAGUUUUAGACUUAUACCUUCCAAAACAUUUGAAGAAAGUGAAGAACCAAACUAUUUCUCUCCAAACAACUCCACAACAAGCUUCCUUAGUUCCUUGGUGCUAGUUUAAUCGGAUUAGUUUUGUAGUUUCAACUCAAACAAGGUAAGAUUCAAGAUUGGAGUUUGAGGUUUUCUCUCUUGUUUUUCAAUUCAAAAAAAAUUUAUUUGGUCAACCAACCCUUGGACCUUUGACACUUGUCAAAGCCAAGUUUUCUCUCUUUUUUUUCUUUUCUUUCCGUUUCCUCAGUCAGUAAAGAUGACUGGAUUAAGAGGUAAUUUAGGGAGGAUUAGGUGAAAGAAAAAAAAGAAGAUUAGGGUAAGAAAAUGGUGGUCAAGUGGUGUACUCAAUCGAUAACAAACGGUACACGUCGGUUUAAGCCUAUUUUCCUUAACUCGCUAGUACUUGUGCUUUAACUUAUGAUUCACUAACUUAUUAAUAGCACUUCUAAUCACACACUUCCUCUUAUCAAAAACUCACUCUUAACCACCAAAUUUAGUACACAUACCUCACCAAGUGAUCACACGACCAAAAUACGCGAAAAUCCUAGUUUACCCUAACUAUAAAAGUAAAGAUAAAACUCUUGAUUUUAUUAUUUAUUACAACUAGGGAGGGAGUAAUUUAGUAGUAAAGAUAUUAUAAAGUAAAUUAUUCAAAAUAAAAGGGUAUUAUAAGAAAAAUAUUGGUGAAUUUUCAAGUCGUCACGCUUGCCAUGUGAAACAAACAUAUUAGAUGAUGCCCUAAACAUUGCAAUAUGAUUUCCAAGGGUGGUUGUUUAGACUUCAUGUAUAGAUAUAUCAAUUAUGCUAAAAAGCAAGUAUAAGAUCAAUUAGUUUAUUGAAAAAAAUAGCAAUCAAUCUUCAGUCAGAAGCAUAAAAAUUGUAAUUUAUGAUUAUGUCAGAACAAAAGUCACACGCAAAGAAAGAAUUCACCUACCAAAUUAUACUCUAGACAAAGAAUUUGUUCUACAAUAAGAUGGCGAUAAUAGAAUUAAAGAAAAUAGCUUUAGUCAAAGUGAAUUUCCUUGAGACUUUGUUGGGUUAACACCAUGUAUCCAAGAUAGAAGAUUUAACAGUAUUAAGGAGAAAGACUACCAUCUCAAGCAUGCCAUCAUAGGCCGAAAAAGGUGUCAUAUAUAUGAUAGGAUAUUUUCCUUUCACAUAAUUCACCACAGACCCUCCCACUAGAUGGCAACACUUCUCGAAGAAAUUAGCAUUCAACACAUCUGGUCCAAGCGCCUUAUCAGCCUUAAUGUUAAAAAUUGCUCUUUUAACCUUCGUUUCAGUUACCGGGUGAGUUAGCACUCUUAUUCUUCCCUCGUCAAUAAUGGGGAAUCUGUUAUUCUGCUUCAUCACUUCCUCCCUAAUCCAUUCCUUAACCCGGAUAAUGACUAUUUAAGCACCUCUGGAAGUAGAUAAAAAGAGAUGGCAAAGUAAGCAUUUCAUUUAAAUACUACUUUCUAUGUGCUCUAUCACUCAUCCCAUCACAACAAGGCAGGCCUACCCAAGGAAAAAAGAAAUCACAACCAGGAUUGUAUUCACUUCUAUGUUAGGUAACCUCAUCACUAAACACAAGUAAGAGCUUGUUUCCAUUGAGAAUGAGGGCUCUCCAAAGAGGACUAGUUUUCUAUUCUUACUUACCUACCUUAUUUGUAUAUAAAUGAAAGAAAAAAGAGUCAAAAUUUCAACAAUUACACAACCCACUUCCCUAUUUUCUACUUUGGAAAUAAGUUCCAAUAGCUAUAGAACGGCCUUAGGAGUAGGAGAUAGACACUUAAGUAGUCUUACCAUAAGUCUUACUCGGAAAUAAAAAAAAAAUACAAAUAGAAGAGUGAAAUGGUAGAAGUAGAUUCAGUUGAUGAAAGAAUGCACACAACUCCAACUUUGACAAGUUAGCAUAAAGGAAAGGUGGUGCUAAAAAAGGACUUCUACCAAUCUUAAACAAAAGACUACAAAGAAGACAGCAACCGCAUGACGAGGAAAAGUGACUUACUUGAAUGGGGAACUAUCCUAUAACACUAAGAAGUGGGGGACGCUAUAGCUGCCAAAUCUUCUACACGUAUAUGUACUAACCUUGAUCGUUACAAAGGGUGACGUUAUCAUAUCGAGGUAGUUCUUUCGAUAAGAAGAUCAAUUUAUUGUUUACCCCUUAGACCUUUUGAAGAUGGUUCUGUUACUAAUAUGUUUAUGUCAAUUGUAGAUAAUGUAUUUGGGUUCAAAACUCUGCGUACUUUACGUCUAAAAUACCUCUUAGCACUACAAAAAAAAGACCUGUUUAUGAUGACGAAAAGUUGCCACAAUAACUAGAAUAUUCGUCAGUAAAACUUUUUGUGAUGGCAACUUCAUCACAUGACCUCCAUCCAAGAUACCCCGUGGCUAAAAGGUUUUUGUGACAACAAAAUGUUGUCGUCACAGAGAAAUCGUGACAGCACUAUCUGUUCAUCAUUCCUUUCAUGUACUUGUGACGACAAAGCGUCACAAUAAAUGGUUUAUGGCUUGUCACAAAACUGUUAUGUCAUCACAAAAAUACUACAUUUAUUGUUUUAAUAAAGUUUUUGUGGCAACCUUUUCAUCACAAAAAGUCCAAAAUAUUUUUGUAACAACGGCUCUUGCAAUGAAAUCAUCAUCACAAUAACUACUAUUUUCUUGUGAUGGCGUUUCUAACUUUGUUGUCACCAAAACUUUUGGUAUAAAAUCUCUUACAAAAGGACAUUCCAUUCUAUUAUGACAAUAAAAUGUGUCAUAAGAAAUCCUGCUGCAUAGGCUAUUAACGUGCCAUAUCAAAAAUUAACCAUACAAUAUAAUCCGGUAUUAAAAUGGUUACAGCCACAAGUGUCAUCAUAAUAGAAGUCAACAUCUAAACUUUUCAUAGUAUGUUUAGACAUACAUGUCUAGCACAAAACAACCAAAAGUAUAGUUUCAAAAUAAGCAAACUACUGGAGCUUCUAAGCAGUAGUGAAGCAUACUUUCAACAGUUUCAAAUUUCAAAAGGGUGCGUUUACUCCUAAACAUGUACAUUGAGGUAGAUGUUGCUAUCCAGGAGAGAAGUCCUACAAAUAUCGACCCAAAAAGUUAGACAAAAGCAUUGUGUUGAACCUAAAAUGAAAACAAAAAUUGAACUCAUUGUCCAAAAGACCACAAAGUAUGAAAAGGAAAAGAUCAUAAAGAACAUGCUAGGCAAUUUGAUGAUAAAGAAUCUCAUACACAUCAAAUUGCUUAGAGCAUUCAAAUUAGCAUUAAUGGAUUGGUAUUUACAUUGGAGUGCCAAAGGAAAGAUUUAAACAAAUUGCAUUAGUAACCAUGAUCAUAAAAGUGCAUAGAUUUUACUUGAAGUCAGAAAGCACAUUAACUAUGAAUCUCAUUUCAAUAUAAAUAGUAUAUGCCAAGUGCGACACUUAUAUCUGAAUUUACUAGCUAAUUUAAGCAUGUCACAUGCAUAAUUUUGGCACUACCAAUAAGUUAUUUAUAUAAAUUCUCAUGAAUGUAUCAUACUAAUCUAAUUCCAUGACAUGCUAAGAACUUAAAGUAUCAAGGAAUAUAAGACUUGCCUCCUUUAGAGGCAAAUUAUAACCCACAUGAUUGACUCUAAAGUGAUUGAUAUUCUAAUUAAUUGAUUGAUAUUUUGUUAAUAAUUAAUUAGUAUCUCCCAUUAGACAAUGAUUGGUGAUUGAUAUCCUGAUUAAUUGAUUGACAUUUUGUUAAUAAUUAAUUAGUAUCUUCCAUUUGUUAAUGAUUGAUUGAUAUCUACUGUUAAUUGACGUCUUAUUCAAUCAGUUAAUCAAUCAAUUAGUCAGAAAAUAUUAUUUCAGUUAUGAAUUUUGGCAAGAUUUCCUUAAUAGAAGGAAACCCUAGGGAUUUUUGUAUUUGCCUGUAAGGGUCCCUAAUCUAACCUAUAAAUAACCUAUGAUAUUCCAUCAAUUGUACAUCUUUUGGUUAGGUAUAGGCCAGAAGAUCCUUACUCGAAAUUCUCCUUCUAUUUUUCUCUUCUUCUAUACAUCUACAUAGUUUCUUUGUCCACAUAGAUAAGAACAAGGCAAGAAGACAACGAAUAGAAAGUAUUAAUCUCUAUUCAACAACAAUGGUUGGAGGUAAAUCAUUUAAAUUUUUGCUAUUUAGUACAAUUUAUUUGUACUUAUUUGGUGUCACAUAUGGUAUUAGAGCCACCCUCUAACCAUGUUGUUUAACAUAUAAUUUCAUGAUUUGUUGGCAAUUUGAGAAAAUCUACAUAGAUUCAUUUAAUAUUAAAUAAAUCAAAUUCAAUUUGUUAUGGGAUCUAUGUAUCCAUUAUCUCAAUAAUUGAGAAUUAACGGCUAAUCCCAUGUAUAUAUAUCAUCCUUGUGAUGAUUUAUUUGUCAUGCAAGUAUGUAUCAUACAUAUAUCGUUGGGAUGAUAUUUAAUCUUCAUUUGGUUAUGCUUGUAUAUGACAACAUAACUAAUUAUAUCUUGCAUGAAUUAUGGUUAGUAUACUUGUACCUUUUGACUUUGCAUCAUGUAUGCUAAAUAAAUGUUGAACCUUGCUUUUGGGGCACUUUAUGAGUUCUAUUCAAAUAACUCCAUGCCUCUUGAAAUUGUGAUUAAUAAUUGGCAUCAGUAAUUUGUUUGUUUGCUGCACUUUCGCCUAAUUAUUUAAAAUAUAAUUUGUGACAUUUAUCAACUUUUCAUUUUUGUCACCCAUUUAGAUGUUAUCAUAAAGAUUUUGCAUCUUGUAUUUAAGAGUGGCCACAUCAUCUUGUAUGCUUGAUGAUUAGAAUUUUAAUCAAAUAAAUGUCUAGUGAUUAAAUGAAUAACAUCUAAUUAAGUAAGCAAUUAAUUUAUUAAAAUUAUCACUUAGUCCAUAGGAAAGUGAUAGUUUUAAUAAGAUUAGUUGAAAUAAGAUGGAAAAUUUAACACUGUGUUAAGAGAUUUUCCUAAAACCACAGGUAUAGAAAGUUUCUAUUUUUAUAGUUUUAAUUUACUAGUCUUAUUAUAAAGAAAGUAAAUUUAAUGCAUGUUUGACAACCUCUACCUACAGGAAGGUUUGAAUUUAUUAUUUGAAUUAACAUUGGUUAAUUCAAUCCUUAUGUCUUAAAUUUCAUCGCAAUAAUGUAUGUUUAUUCUUGGAUAUUGCAGUUUUUCUACCAUUACUCUUUUUAAUGAUUCAUCUCGUAUUCCAAUGCUAUCCGGUGAAAACUACGCUGAAUGGAAGGACAAGAUUCUUAUAACUUUAGGGUGCGUGGAUCUUGAUUUGGCACUUCGUGAGAAUGAACCACCCAUUUUCACGGAAUCUAGUUUGUCAAAUGAAAAGGCUGCUUAUGAGCUAUGAGAGCGAUCUAAUCGCUUGAGUUUGAUGCUCAUUAAGUCGUAUAGCAGUCUAAGCAUUAGGGGUUCAAUUCCUGAUUGUGACCGAGUCAAAGCUUACAUGAAAGUAAUUGAUGAACAAUUUGUAAGAUCUGACAAGAUUUUGGCUAGCACCCUUAUAAAGAAAUUUGCAAGCAUUAUACUUGACAAAAAUAAGAGUGUGCGCGAGUAUAUUAUGGAAAUGAGGGAUAUUGCUGCUAAACUAAAGUCCCUUAAAGUUGAGAUUUCUGAAUCGUUUCUUGUGCAUUUCAUUCUCAACUCUUUUCCAUCGAAAUAUACUCCAUUUAAGAUCUCUUAUAACAUACAUAAAGAAGAAUGGUCAAUUAAUGAACUCUUGACCAUGUGUGUUCAAGAAGAGGAGAGAUUGAAACAUGAGACACCAGAAAGCGUUCAUCUUGUGACUCAUGGUAAAGGAAACACAAAGAAAGGAAAAGGCAAGAUCGUUUUUAUGAAAAAAAGAUGGCAAUAAAGAUAAAUGCCAUUUUUGCAAAAAGAAAGGGCAUUGGAAGAAAGAUUGCCUCAAGUACAAGAAGUGGCUUGAAAAGAAAGAUAAUCUCAUUUUUGUGUGCUAUGAAACUAACUUCACUGAAGUUUCUAAUAAUGUUUGGUGGAUUGAUUGUGGCUCUACAAUUCACAUUUCCAAAACUAUGCAGGGAUUUCUGAACAUAAGAAAGCCGUUGGGAAGUGAACAAAACAUCUAUUCUAAAAAAGGAUGCGUUCAUCCGUUGAAGGCGUGGGGACCUAUAGACUCGUUUUAAAGACUGAUUUUCAAUUAGAUCUUGAAAAUGCCUUUUAUGUUCCAUCCUUUUCUAGAAAUUUAAUUUCUCUUUCUAGACUAUCUAUUAUUGGAUAUGAUUCCAAUUCUCAUCUUUCAACUAUGAAUCUUUUGAAAAAUAAUAAAAUUAUUAGUUCUGCUAAUUUGGAUGGAAUGUUAUUUAAACUUGAGUUAGACCCCAUAUACGAAUAUAGCCUUUUAACUAUGCAUGGUACUGGUACUAAACGCAGUAUUAUCAAUGAGAACUUUCUGAAACUUUGGCAUAAGAGAUUGGGACAUAUCUCCAUUGAUAGAAUAAAAAAGGUUAGUGAAUGAUGGAGUCCUAGAGACUUUAGAUUUCAUUGACUUUAGUACUUGUGUAGGCUGCAUAAAGGGUAAGCAAACUAAUAAGAUCUCAAAAUUUGCCAAAAGAAGUUCUUAAUUACUUGAGAUUAUACACAUAGACAUCUGUCAACCUUUUCCUACCCCUUACUUGAAUUGUCAGGGAUAUUUUAUCUCAUUUAUAGAUGAUUAUUCAAAAUUUAUGUAUCUUUAUCUCUUGUUUGAUAAAUCAGAAGCACUUGAUGCUUUUAAAAUUUUCAAACUAGAGGUAGAGAAAUAGAAGAAAAAGAAAAUCAAAAUUGUGAAAUCAGAUAAGGGUGGCGAAUAUUAUGGAAGACACACAGAUAAAGGACAAGCAUAUGGUCCAUUUACUAAGUUUCUCCAAGACGAAGGUAUUGUUGCUCAAUAUACAAUGCCUGACACACCGCAACGAAAUGGUGUAGCUGAAAGGAGAAAUCGAACUCUCAUGGACAUGGUUAGAAGUAUAAUUAGGAGCACUAGUUUAUCUUUAUCCUUAUGGAGUGAAGCUUUAAAAAUAGUUGUGUAUAUUUUGAAUAGGGUACUAUCCAAGGCUGUCCCUAAGACGGCUUUUGAAAUUUGGAAUGGAUGAAAAUCUAGUUUAAAACAUUUACACAUAUGGGGUUGUCCAGUUAAAGUGAGGGUAUAUAACCCACACAUUAAGAAAUUGGAUGAACAUAGAGUUAGUGGUUUCUUCAUAGGCUAUGUUGUUAACUUCAAAGGGUUUAGAUUUUACUAUCCUUCACACACUCUAAAUAUUAUUGAAGCUAGAAAUGCUAAGUUUCUUAAGGAGCACGAAAUCAAUGGGAAUGGUUCUCAAAGGGUGGAAUUUGAAGAAGUAAAGGAUGCACCUAUAUCACCUUUACAUGAUCUAGUUGUUAUUCAAAAUACUGAAGAACAACCAGUUGAGCAACCUCCAUUUGAGCAACCACAAUAAGAACAAUCAACAAUAGUUGAUCCCACUAAUCAAACUCUCCAUGAAACAGUGGGAGUUAGAAGAUCCACAAAAAUUAGAAGGUCAACAAUUUCUAGUGAUUAUGAAGUAUAUCUCCAAGAGUCUGACUAUGAUGUUGGACUUAAGGAUGACUCUAGUUCAUGUUUACAAGUCAUGAAUGGAGAAAACUCCACAUCUUGGUAUAAUGCCACGAAAGAAGAAAUGGAAUCAAUGGCUAAAAAUAAAGUUUGGAAUCUCAUUGAAUUACCCAAAAAGAUCUUUAUUGUGGGUUGGAAAUGGGUUUUCAAAAUCAAAAGAGAUUCAAUAGGUAAUAUCGAACAAUAUAAAGCUAGACUUGUAACCAAAGGUUUUACUCAAAAGGAAGAAAUUUACUACCAUAAAACCUUCUCUCCUGUUUCAAAGAAGGAUUCAUUGCAUGUUAUCAUGAUAAUAGUAGCCCACUUUGAUUUGGAACUACAUCAAAUGGAUGUGAAAACGAUGUUCCUUAAUGGGGAUCAUGCAGAAGAGGUAUACAUGUUUCAACCUGAGGGUUUUGUCAAUAAUGACAACAACCAACUUGUUUGCAAGUUAAAGAAAUCUAUAUAUGGACUAAAACAGGCUUUCCGUCAAUGGUAUAUUAAAUUUCACAACGUUGUCUCUUCAUUUGGUUUUGUAGAGAAUAUUGUUAACCAGUGCAUAUAUCUUAAGACAAAAGGGAGCAAAUAUAUCUUUUUAGUCUUAUAUGUAGAUGAUAUUCUUCUUGCGAGUAAUGAUAUGGGUUUGUUGCAUGAAACUAAAAAGUUUCUUGCACAAAACUUUGAAAUGAAGGAUAUGGGUGAAGCCUCUUAUGUCAUUGGCAUAGAGAUUCAUAGAGAUAGAACAAGAAAAAUUAUUGGUCUGUCUCAAAAGACCUAUAUUGAAAAGGUUUUGGAAAGAUUUGGAAUGAAACACUUCUCUUCCAUGGCAGCUCCCAUUGUCAAAGGAGAAAAUUUCAGUUUGGAUCAAUAUCCUAAAAAUGAGUUGGAACGAAAAGAGAUAGAUAGCAUUUCGUAUGCUUCGUUUGUUGUAAGCCUUAUGUAUGCUCAAGUCUGCACCAGACUUGAUAUUGCUUUCAUAGUUAGAAUGCUAGGUUGGUAUCAAAGUAAUCCUGGAAAGGAUCACUAGAAAGCUGCCAAAAGAGUUUUGAGAUACCUGCAAGGGACCAAGGACUACAGACUUACAUACAAACAGUCUGACUAUUUAGAGAUAGUUGGAUAUUCUGAUUCGGAUGUUGCUGGAUGUAUGAACUUAAGCAAUCUACUUCAGGGUACAUUUUCCUUCUUACUGGAGGAACAGUAUCUUAGAGAUGUAGAAAAGAAAAUUGUUGCAUCAUCCACGAUGGAAGCAGAAUUCAUUGCAUGCUAUGAGACUACAUCACAGGCUUGGUGGUUGAAGAACUUUAUAUCUGGCCUAAAAGUGGUAGAUUCAAUAAGUAGGUCACUGAAGAUCUUUUGUGACAACUCUGUUGCUGUAUUCUUUGUUAAGAACAACAAGAGUGGAAGUCGAAACAAACAUAUCGACAUCAAGUUCUUAAUGGUCAGAGAUCAUGUUAAAAAGCAAGAAGUAAUCAUUGAGCACAUUAAUACUGAAUUAAUGAUUGUUGAUCCUAUGACUAAAGGAUUGCCGGUAAAAGUCUUUCAGGAUCAUGCAACUCGUAUGGGACUGAGUAGCUAAUGCUAGAUUAUUUCUAUUUUCUUGACCAUUUGUGUCUAGACAUUUGUUAUUAAUGUUUGUGCACAUUAAAAUUGAUACAUGUAUAAAGAAAUGAUCUUUUGAUCCAUCAAGUUGGACCCUGAGUAACUUAUACAAAGUUAUUUAUAAAGUUCUUUUAAAGUACUUGAUUAGGAAGUAUAAUAUAGGGUUAAUUCCACUUUGUCCCCCUAAAUUUUGGACGAUUACCCACUUCAGUUCCUAAACUUCAAAAUGAGACACUUAAAUCCCUAAACUUAUAUAUAUCUCCCAAUUAAGGAAAAUUGUUGACAGAAUCCUGAAUGCCGUUGCUGGUCAAAGUGUCCCAUUUUAUAAGUUUAGGGAUUUAAGUGUCCCAUUUUAUAAGUUUAGGGACUUAAGUGUCCCAAUUUAUAAGUUUUAGGGACUUAAGUGUCCAAUUUUAAAGUUUAGGGACUGAAGUGGGUAAUCGUCCAAAGUUUGGGGGGACAAAGUGGAAUUAAACCUAUAAUAUAUUGUAAUACAUCGAAGGAAGUGUUCGCAAUAAGAACAUAACCACCAUGAUUCGAGUAUUAUCAUUUUCUAAUUAAGCAACUGUUCAUAACUAUCGAGUCUAUUGAGUGAUAAUAAAGACUUAUGGCCGCUUAAGCAUCUAGUCACUCAAAGGUUAUCUGACUAUAGCAUGUGGGUCAAAUGGGAGAAUGAAAGAUUUGCCUCCUUUAGAGCCAAAUUAUGACCCACAUGAUUGAUUCUAAAGUGAUUGAUAUUCUAAUUAAUUGAUUGACAUUUUAUUAAUAAUUAAUUAGUAUCUCCCAUUAGACAAUGAUUGGUGAUUGAUAUCCUCAUUAAUUGAUAGACAUUUUAUCAAUAAUUAAUUAGUAUAUUCCAUUUGUUAAAUUUUUUUUUUGUCAAUCGUCAACCCUACUUCUACUCCUACUCUAUUCUAAUCUAACUACGGGGGAGACCCAACUGGGCUUAUGGGGGACUAAUGGGGAUUGGAUUUUUUUUUGAAGAACCACAAUUGUGGCAAAUUGGUGGGAGGCAAGGUUCGAACCCUUGCCUCCCACCCCACCAAAGCCUUAAAGGCUUGGUGGUGGCAAUCAGCCUAAGGCUGAUGGUUAUCUUCCAUUUGUUAAUGAGUAAUUGAUAUCUACUGUUAAUUGAUAUUUUAUUCAAUCAGUUAAUCAAUCAAUUAGUCAGAAAAUAUUAUUUCAGUUAUGAAUUUUGGCAAGAUUUUCUUGAUGGAAGGAAACCCUAGGAAUUUUUGUAUUUGCCUGUAAGAGUUCCUAACCUAGCCUAUAAAUUGCCUGUGGUAUUCCAUCAAUUGUACACCUUUUGAUUAGAUAUAUGUUAGAAGAUUCUUAGUCUAAAUUCUCCUUCUACUUUUCUCUUCUUCUACACAUCUACAUAGUUUCUUUGUCCACAUAGACAAGAACAAGGCAAGAAGACAACUAGUAGAAAGGAUCAAUUUCUGUUCAACAACAAUUACUGAAGGUAAAUCAUUUAAAUUUUCGCUGUUUAGUACAAUUUAUAUGUACUUAUUUGGUGUAACAAGGAAGGCUCAAAUAAUUAUAUGCUAGCGACAAAACAAAAAAUGGCAACUUACAUUAAUUCAAAACAGAACCAUUCUGGUUAGAUCUCUAAACGAGAAACUCUUCCAACCUUUUUUCCAUCGCCUCUUGCUUCUCAUUAAAACUAUUGUUGUAAGUCUCUUGUCGCUGAAAAAGUUCCUCAUAUCGACAUAUUUGUGCUCGUUGACUUUUAAGUUGCACUUUUUGUCUCUCAAGCUAAUCAUUUGCAUUGUGAAGAUUCUCUUUGUACUGGCUUAAUUCUUCUUGUACUGCUCUUGCUGUGGAGAACACAGCGGCUUUAAAAUUGUUGGCAGCCGGAGGAAUUACAACUCCAUAUCCCAUUCUAACCACUUUUUUUGCCAAGAAUGUCACCCAUAAGGCUAGUUUCUUGAAUAUUUUCUUCACCAUUCUCAGUGCUACGCCUUUUCUUCUCGACUAAUUCAAUCUGCAUUUAAUAUUGUGCUACCAUGUGACGUACUGGAUAGAAACAAGUCCUACAAAAAUGAUAUAGUUAUAUACUUAUGAAUUUCAGACUUACGUGUUUUUGCUUAGCCUAGUCAGUAACAAAUUCACCAUUUCGUCGUUUGUGAUUACCUUCCCAAAUAUCAAUUAGCCUCCUAAUUUCCUAUUAAGCACAAUAAAAUCUUAAUUACGAUAAGAAUAAUACUCCUAAAAAAGUCAAAGAAAGAUUCAAAACCUAUUGACAUAUAAUGCAAGUUAAAAGAAUUAGCAUUUGUUGAAUUCGAAUAUGGUUUAAUUUUGAACCACCAAUAUGAGAAAAAGGCAGUUUAGCAGGAUUGGCAGAGUUUAUCACAGGUUUUCUAAUUGAAGAAAAAUAGAGGAAAAUAAAAAUAAAUAUGACUUGAAUUAGUAACAACAUCAAGUGAUACCAUAAUUAAUUUAAUGAGUUAGGUUUGAAGAAUUACCUGAAAUUUGGGAUUUUCAAACCACUCACAUAUAUUAUCCCAUUCAUCUUGCUCAAUCCAAUCAUACGGGUAGGUAUGUGGAUUUUUACCUACUGCCUUCAAGUUUUUGUACUUUUCAUGCAGUUUUAUUUCUCCAAUUCUUAUAAGAAAUUCUUAGCAUAUCAUCAAUGUAGUUGAUCACCAUUGGAUUAGUUUGCCAGUCCUUAAAUUCAAACCAUACAUGUUAAUUAAAAAUAAAAUGAUGAAUCAAUGAUCAGACUUACUUGAAUUGAAUAAAAUACGUAAUUACUUGCCACAAUAGUAUGUGUAUGAUACCAUUAAGCUACCAUAAAGUUCCUCCUUGGUCUCUUCGAGAACCUCAUCAUAUUCGUGCACAUCCUUCACCUUGGCAUGAUGCUUGACUAUAAUACCAAAUGUACUUGCAAAUUUUGAGGCAUAUGUGAUAGGUUUGGAACAUCCUUCAGAAAAGACUAUUUCACAUUACUUGCCUCCCUAGGGAUAUAGUUUUUUGACAGUCAAUGGCAAAAAAUAUCUUACAAAAAAAUAAAAAAAUUUAUAGAGAUUUUUGAAUUAUUUUUGUGUGUGAAUAUGAUAAGCAUUUUAUUCAGUAUACAUUUUCUUCUAUGGCUUGUCGUGUACUUAAACCUCGACCAUUCUUUCGUUUAGGAGGAUCUGCCAUUGUGAGAAAAAAAUCAUAUGAAAUAAACAGAAUCAAAAUUUAAUAAUUAUUCACUUGUUUGAUAAAUUAAUUUUACCUAAUCAGUUCUACACUAUAUAAAGUAAUUUACUCGUUAGAAUUAGUUGCAGGCUGUUGGAUUAGUUCUUGAAACUCUAUCAUUAUUUUGAUAUGAUUUCUGAGAAGGUAAAACCGCUUUAUUUCCUGAAGGACUUCGAAAAAAUUACUGUCCAGAUUGCAUUUGAGCAAUUUCCUUCACUGGUUGUGUUGGAUUUUGUCCUCUGAAAUCUAAAUUGUGUCCACUUAAUACGACAAUUGUAUUUGUUUUAGGAGUGUGCAUCAAUCUUUUGCCCCUAGGUAGCUUCUGAAAAAAAAAUAUUUGAAAAUAAAAAUAAUUAGAGAUUAAGAAAAAGAGUAAAUCUUAUAUACACUGACAGUGUAUACACUAUCACCGUUUGAUUCAUGACAUGUAUACAAAAGUUGAAUUCUAAAUUCAAAUUUUACACAACUGUCAUUCAUCCAACACUGACAGUGUAUACUGUGAGGACCCGAAAAAUUUCUUAUUUUUAUCGAAUAUUAAUGGUUUAAUUAAGUAUUUAUCCACCUGUUUUCCCCAAAUAAUUUAUUACAACCAUUUUAAAUCCAUUCGUAUGGAAUAAUGUCUUCUUUAUGCUUUUAAAACGUCCCGUUAACAACUUCAAUUUUCGGAGGAUUGUUUAGGUGAGAAAUAAUGAACACGAGUGUUUCAAGGUGAUAUUAUAUUCGAGAGUAUGAUUAUCCUGGGGAAAUUAAGAACGGACAAUAGCAGAUUAAGAAAAGUUAAUCGGGAAUUAAAGGUGAAUAAGUUCUAAGUGAGCAUAUACUACUCACGCGUGGAUAGUUUUCCAAAAGACGCAUGGAUACAAAUUUAUUGGAAAUUUGAGGAGUUAAUACUCGACUCAUGUGAGGACUCGUAAAACUCCUAUUAAAACCCUAUUUUGAGCUUAUUUAAUUAUUUAGUUGUUCAUUUAUUCCGAGUAUUAUUUUCUAGACCUAUUGAACAUAAUUACGUGGAAAUAUAGUUUCAUUAUAUUUUUAAAGUGACUUGUUUCAAAAAUUAAUUUUCGGGAGCGCGUUUAGUGAGAACAGUGAAUAGUGCUUGGAAAUUUUACCCGAUUGAGAGUACAAUAGGCUUGGAAUAUUAAAGACUUAUACAAUGGAUCUAAAUUAGGUAUUUUAAUGAUUAAAUACUCAAGUGAUAGUUAGUGGUACGAUCGUUAUAAGAAUUUCUCGAAGGUUUCACUCUAUCGCGCUUAAAUUGGAAAUACGCGUUUUCACACGCGCGAUUAAUUGAGGGACUUUAGACCAUUAUUUUGGGACAAUUAAGGGUGAAUAAUAUUUAUAUGAAUAUAAGUGCAUUAGAGGUUUAGUGCACUAGUGAAACAAAUGCAAGAGGAAUUGAGCACGAAACGUGCGCGUAAAAGCGCAAGAGAGAGUUGACUUUUGCACCAAUUCUAGCCACACAUUAAGGCUUCCUUUGGAAGCCUCAUUUAGAUCAAAAUUUUCUCUCUCUUCCUUCCUAAGACAGCCGGCUCUCCCAAGAGCAAGAACCAAACUGGCUUCAUCAAAUUCUACUCCAUUUCAUGCACCAAAUCUCAACCAUUUCACACCAAAAUUGAAGACCACUUAGCUUAAAACUUGGGGAGUGCAUCUAGCUACAAAAACAAGGAGCUUUGCACAGUUUUCUUUGGCUGAGAAACGGCCGAAAAUUCUGUUUGGUUCAUCAACCAAAGUAAGUAGUGAUCAACUCAUAGAAUCUUGUCUUUUGGAAGUCAUAUAGCAUGAUUAAGCUCUAGCAUGCCUUUGGUUAGCUUGUUUAUGGUGUAAAAUGAAAUGGGUGGAAUCUAUGAACUCCCACCUUUGUCUUGGGGACUGAUCUCAUACUUGAUGAUGGAUUUAAUGUUGGUUUAGUGCUCAAAAUGGUGGAUUAAUGGUGUAUUAUUAGUAGAAACUUCAAGGGGUGCAUGGAGUAAAAAGUUCCGAUUCUGCCCCUGCUUUGAACGUACCUAUUUCUGCAGAAUUUUGGGGAUUUAAUGGCUUAUAUAUGAUGUUUAUAUGUUGUAUAGAUGGUGUAAAAAAUUUCAUUGAAAAAUAUUGAGGUUUGGUGGGUCAAAUGAAUCGAUUUCACAAAGCUAGUAAAUCUGGAACUGUUCCCGUAAUGCUCUGACCAGUUUUCGUGUUUCGGCCAUAACUUUGUGCUCCGACGUCAAAAUCGAGUGGCGUCAGUGGAAUUUGAAACUAGACAUUCUCACCUUUCCGACGGUAUAAAAUUCAUGUUCUGGUUCCAUGUAUGUGAGCCGAACCAACCAUUUAAAGUCGGCUGUUCUGUUUCUCUGUUUUCCUGGAACGAAAUGCUGAGGCUGCAACUUGUGGCUCGAAUUCGAGCUAGUUGUGUGCCAAAUUUCAAAAUGAUUUCUUCUGUGAAAUUUUAUCUCUAUGAAUGUAUUUUCCAACGCCAUAAACUAUGCCCAAUUCCGAGUUAAGUUGAGUGAUUUAUGAUCAAAAUACGGAACCUGCCCUGCUCUGGAAAACCCUAACUUUUGGACAGAUUUGAUGCAAGGCUUGGUGUAGACUUGCUAACUGAAUAUUUUGGUGCUAAACACUUAUGAAAUGUGCCAUGAAUGUUCCUUAGGCUUUGCCUACACUAAUGAGCCAUGUUUGAGGAAUUUUUCCUUGACCAAAUGUUUGGAAUGGAAAACAAAAGGCUCAAGGCAGUUUUAUCAUAGGAUUUUUCCAUGAAAUUUGGUAGAGGGAUACUCUUUAUAUAGGAUUAUUAUACUGCCAAAUUUUGUACCAAUCCAAGUCCAUUUCGAUACCUAACUAAAGUCCCAAAGUUGGAAGCUCAAAUCUGGAAAUUUGUUCACCAGUUUUGAAUUUUUCCCUAACUUUGAGCUAUCGUAUCUCGGUGCUCGAAACUCUGAUUCUGGAUCCACUUUUUCUGUUAAAAACAUUACUUGCAAUCCUAAUUGAGUUACAGAUUUCAGAGGCUAGCACGCAACGUGUGAAUUUUUCCGAAUUUCCAAAGUUACCGAAAAACCAACCCCAACACAACCUUAAGUACUCUGAAACAGUAACUUUGAGCCCAUUUUUGAAUGUCUUCUAUUUAGAGUCAUGGAAAAGUGUCUUCUAAUAACUUUUAGUACUUUCAAAGAGGUUUCCAACGGUACCAAGUUUUCCAAUUUUUGACAUGUAGAAUGUGAGAUACAAUUUUUCAAAAUAUCAUAUCAAAACUGAAAAUUUUCCGGAUUCCAAAGGAAGGGAGUUUUCAAGCACUCCUUAUUCCUUCGAUAUUACUUGAACGUUUUAUACUUGAUUUUCCAAAAUAAAAACUCGAUCGCUCUUGUACUUUAAGAAGCUCUAAUUGAACCUCGAUUUACGAGUAAUUGAGGUUUGUUUUCAUGAAAUUUCCUUAGAUUGUACUAACAUACAAUCUUCCUUGAUAAUUGGGGCACGUGAAUGAUAAUACAUUAUAUUUUACUCAAGUGCACUCGAGGACCUUCAAGAGGAUCCUACAGUGAACACUUGAACUUCCAGAAAAUAUUUCUUCUUGAUUUGCUCGGUGAGUGUCAAGUGUAUGGCUACUUGAACUCUAUGGGCUUGAUUCAUGCUUGGCUUACCUGAUUACAUGCUUAGCCUACUUGGUUUUGAAAAAUGGAGUCGAGUGUGUACUUUAUCGCACUCGUUCUCAUUUGAAACAAAUGACUCAUGCUUAACAUGUUUUGCCUGAUUUACAUGAUCUGAAAUACAUGCUUAAACCUGUCGAAUGCUUUAUUACAUGACAUGGUAUGCUAUGGCUGCAUACGUCGUUGGAGUGAAUCUCCUCGACACUUACAUGAUACAUGGGGGACGCCCAAACUCAUAGGCCGACCUUGGAACUCGAGCCGGCAUGGGCUUGGUCGGGAACCUUGGUGAGCCAUGAGAAUCACAUGAUAAGCUUGAUCUAUUUGAGAGAUCUUGCUUGGUAUACUCGUGGAGUAUAGCCUUAUAAAUGUCGUGCGGGCCCGAAGCGGUGUAGGGUGGACGGAUGAGAAGUAAGUGGUGAUCUACGGUUUGGAAAUAUCAACCCGGUUGACGGAGAGUCAUCGCGGGAAGAUAUACGAAUGAACUGGCAAAGCAAGUGGAACUUAGCUCCUGAGAACUACUAUAUCCUUGAAUUGUUUCUGCUUACUUUCACUGGCUUUAUUAAUUACUUGUAAUUAUCUCUUAGACUGUUAUUUGGGACUGUUAUCUGGACUACGUGCUUGCAUGUGUGUUCUUGGUCUCACGAGCGUUUUGCUCACCCUGUAGAUUUAUUUUCCUUAACAGGAUUGAACUCGAAGAUGUAUUGGAGAAACCCUUCUGAUGUGCUUUUGUUUAGGGUUUCUAUUACAUUUUGUCUAUGCCUUGGUUUUUGGGUUGUACUUUUGGAUUUGAAAUGUAACUUUUGGGGCAUGAUGUAUAUUUGGGAUUCAUGAUGUACUUUGAGCACCUGACAUACGGGUUGGAUAAUGGAUCACAGUUGUUAAACUUGAACGCUUCUGCAUUUACUAUAUUUAAGUUAUUUACUUGUGUUGUGUAGACUGAUAAUAAGCUUGAAUGAAAUUGCUUGAGUCCUGGCGAGAGUUGGGCAGGCUUCCCGCGGAUACCCUUUGGUUCGCCUUAGGGAUAAGUGGGGGCGUCACAGUUGGUAUCAGAGCCCAGGUUUUAGAUCUUUGUAGUGUGUCCUAGGCUGAAAAGUUUAGGAUGCCGGACUGUGGAACUGGUUGAAAAGUUAAGUGACAGCUUGUGAAAAUGAAAACUAGAACCAAGGUUUGAAUUAGUGGAUGACAAGGAGUUUUGAUCUUGUGUGAUACAUGUGGGAUAGUACGAAAUGAUCAGAUCUAGUUUAUUGAAUAUACCUGGACUUACAUGAGCUUUUACUUUUAAGGGUAAGUUAUGGGAGGUAAGGGUGAUAUUAAAUGGUCUCGGGACGCCUUCUGAUGGCCCAUUCUUGAGAAAGACCUAAGGGAGCAUUGGAGAGAUAAUCCAAUUCACAAAACUAGGACUUCAUGUGAUUUUCAAAGGACUUGCUCGCACCCAAAUAAUGGGGUGUUAAUAGUGGUCGAUCAUUAAAAGUGGCUAUCCGAGAAAAUUAGGGUAACUCGAGGGGAUAAUCGAGAACUGAGGGCAAUUGCGGAUACCUAGACUACUAGAAUUCCUGAAGUGGAGAUUGAGAUACUUAAGGAGCGAGGAAGACAAAGGCUCCUUGUGAGAAGCUUUAAAAAGCUAAGACCCGACUUGUUAAGGUAGUGCCCGAAAUUAAAGACAGGAUAGAUAAGUCGAUGACUGGGUGUGUUACCUUGGUUGAGCAAGUGGAGAAUGAUAAUAUAUUCGAUAAGGGACAUGAGAUCUAAAACUCCUAGUGCUGGAAAUGAAAAUGAUUCUACGGAGGUAAUAAGAUUUUUGACUCCGCCAAUCACUAAGUUAGUGAUUUAAACUAUUUUAAUAGUUUUGCCAAAGAUAGACGGGGUGGCACUCGCUUAAAGGCCAUUGCAUUUUGUAUCUUGUUUUACUAUGUUUUCUAUAUUUUGAGGCAAUUAAAACGUUACUCAUGACAUGCUUGACUUUACUGCUUUACGAUUUCAAAUCUAUGAUUGAGUUGUACACAUUUGCGAUUAUUUCGGUGUCUUUCCUUUUGUUCUUGUAUUUAUUUGGCGUGAUAAAGGUAUCACUUUUCAAACUCCAUUUAUGUGCACUCACUUUAUAUCAUACCUUUAAACAUGUUAAAUUUAUGGGUUGCCAAAGGAGUGAAAAAGGAUUAAGGGCGAGGGGUUAAGCAACUCCAAGCUCAAGGGGGUGAUUAUAGAACGACUGUUAGACUGAACCAAAACCCUAGAAAUGAAGGAAAAUAAUCGUGUAGUCAUUGCUAUUAACCAGACAAUUGAUGCUCUAGCACGAUUAGUGGAGCACUAAAGCUCUAAACCAAUCAACCCACCUGGGGACCCAGCGAGAUGUGAAAAUGAAAUGAUUCUUGAAGUGUACCUAUAUAGAUUUUACGGGGAACCAAACCUCGAAAUAGUAAGAUUGAUUUAAGAGGAUACGAUAAGACACUAGUGGGAGUAAGAGGUUAUGAUCUCCUCUCGAACAACUUCGUAGACAAGUAUUGGAGAGUGAACUAAGACAUGAAAAUUUUAUAUUAAGGAAUGGGGUCCCUGUAUCUGGUUGUGUUUGUAUGUAAUGAUAGUAAUCUCAUGGAGAUUUAAGAACUCGCCCGUAUUAAGCAGAGAAUAGUUGAGAAUUGCAUUCCGGAGUAACCUAUAAGCAAAAGAAUGAAAGAGUAUUAAGACUCGAACUUCCAUUAUGAAUAGCUACUUAUUUUGAACCUUUGAUUUACCUGGCAGGCUAGUAUUUGACUUAAACCAACUGGUAAGAUGACAACUUUGGAAGAAAUGUGUAAGGAAAUUGAUAUUCUUCGAAAUGAGGUAGAAUUUUAAAGAAAAUUGGCUGACUACUGGGAAGGACGGUGAAAACAAGAAUAUGCAGAGAAAACUAAGUUGCUACGCCAGAACGUAGAACUAGAGAAGAAAUACAAAGGAAAUCCUCAAACUGGUCAAGCCGUCACUUCUCACGCGAAUUGUGGAUACUGUGGCAAGAUUAACCAUACCAAGGACAAGUGCUGGAGAAAACAAGGAAAAUGUCUGAGAUGUGGUAGUACCGAGCAUAAGUUUUCGAAUUGCCCCAGUGCAUCUAGAAAGAGGAAAUGCUCAGCGGCCAACUAAAUUCGCCACAAAAUAAUCGAGUGUCAGAAAGGAGUCUAAGUGCGGGAAAUUUUCGAGUAGGGGUAGAUAACUCCACUCGAGGGAUAGAGGUUAUAACUUUACCCUAAAUUAGACUAGCACUUUUGGAGAUUUAAUCUUUUGUAUAGGGGAAAAUCUUUUGUUAUUUUGUAUCUUGGUAACUCGGCACGUUUUGCUAUGCUCCCGUUGUUUCCCUUCCCCUUUUGAAAUGGUUUGAUAAACUUAUCCCAACUUGAUGUAUUUAUUAUGAUCCUUAUGACAUAUGAAACUUUACUCUGCUUUUGGUUGGUUUACGACUUAUAUGUAUAUUCAAAAUCUUGCCCCACACUUUUAGACUCAUAAUAAGAUACGAACGGCGUUAGACGUGAUCGAGAUUGGGCUUGAGAAUAUAGACCACUCUGAGGUCUUGGAGGCGACCAGGGAUUAUGACCAAAUUGAGAACUUGAUGUUGAAGUUGAGAUCCAAUGUUUGAUCGCCAAUUUGAGAUAUUAAAAGUGGUGAGAUUUGGGUUAGUGAAAGGAAAUAUUUGAUGGAUUGAAUGAGACUAACGAUUAAGGACCGGAUAGCAUAUUUGGAAUGGACGCUUGAAGCUAUAUAUAUAUAUAAAUUAUCGAGACUUGAAUGAUGUGACUAUUAAGAAUAAAUACUCCGUAGUCUCACAUAAACGAGAAUUAUAAUCAAGGGUCAGGAGCAGCGCAUAAGGGAUUUAAAGUAGAGUUACUACCAACCGGGAAUCCUAGGGACUGAUGUGUUUAAAACCACUUCCAACUCAAGAUGGGGAUGCUUGAAUUUUCAAUUAUGCCCUUUGGGUUAACUAAUGCACUAGCAGUAAUUAUUGCCUUAAUACAUCAAGAUUUUAAGUCGUAAUUGGAUUAAUCUAUGGUGGCAUUUAUUGAUGAUAUAUCGAUAUACUCUAGUGUUUGAGAAGGUCAUGAAAGACACUUGAUGGUAGUUUUACGAACCUCGAGAGAACGCCAACUUUUGUUAAGUUCAAUAACUGCGAGUUCGAUUGGAAGAAAUAGCCUUUCUAGGUUAUACAGCAUCUAAGGAAGGAAUUAUUAUUGACUCAGCUAAAAUGAAAGAUUGUAUAAGAGGAAACGACCAGAAAAGCAUAUUGAAAUUUGGAAUUCUCGGAGUUAGCCGAAUACUACCUUUGAUUUAUCAAGGAUUUUUGUAAGAGUGCAAGACUUGGCAAACCAUUUGAGGUUCUAAAUGUAAGGGAAAAUCAUGAGAUGAAGAAUGUUAAUCGGUGUACAUGUGCAGGAGGUAAUUUUGUGAUUUACACAGAUGAUUCAAAGGAUGGUUUAGAAUGUAUAUUAAUAAAACAUGAUAAGGUGAUUGUAUAUGCCUCUAGGAAGUUAAAAUAUUACGAGAGGAAGUAGCCAACUCCUGAUUGGGAGUAAAUAACUACAAUAUUUGCCUUAAAGAAGUGAAGAUAUUGUCUAUAUGAGGUAGAUAUGAGGCCGAUUAAGUUGCUCUAUGACUCGAAAGUUAAAAUGCCUAUUGAAGAAAAAAUCAAGGUUUGAUUGCUAGUCGAAUGAAUGGAAAUUGUCAAGUAUAAGUUGGAAAAACGUAAGGUGGUGAUCGAUCUGAUAGACUUAACCAUGAAGGGAAUGAUAUUUUCUCAGGUGUGAAUUUCGAGGAUGAAAUUCUGUUAAGGAGGGGAGGAUGUGAGGACCCGAAAAAUUUCUUAUUUUUAUCGAAUAUUAAUGGUUUAAUUAAGUAUUUAUCCACCUGUUUUCCCCAAAUAAUUUAUAACGACCAUUUUAAAUCCAUUCGUAUGGAAUAAUGUCUUCUUUAUGCUUUUAAAACGUCCUGUUAACAACUUCAAUUUUCGGAGGAUUGUUUAGGUGAGAAAUAAUGAACACGAGUGUUUCAAGGUGAUAUUAUAUUCGAGAGUAUGAUUAUCCUGGGGAAAUUAAGAACGGACAAUAGCAGAUUAAGAAAAGUUAAUCGGGAAUUAAAGGUGAAUAAGUUCUAAGUGAGCAUAUACUACUCACGCGUGGAUAGUUUUCCAAAAGACGCAUGGAUACAAAUUUAUUGGAGAUUUGAGGAGUUAAUACCCGACUCAUGUGAGAACUCGUAAAACUCCUAUUAAAACCCUAUUUUGAGCUUAUUUAAUUAUUUAGUUGUUCAUUUAUUCCGAGUAUUAUUUUCUAGACCUAUUGAACCUAAUUACGUGGAAAUAUAGCUUCAUUAUAUUUUUAAAAUGACUUGUUUCAAAAAUUAAUUUCCGGGAGCGCGUUUAGUGAGAACAGUGAAUAGUGCUUGGAAAUUUUACCCGAUUGAGAGUACAAUAGGCUUGGAAUAUUAAAGACUUAUACAAUGGAUUUAAAUUAGGUAUUUUAACGAUUAAAUACUCAAGUGAUAGUUAGUGGUACGAUCGUUAUAAGAAUUUCUCGGAAGUUUCACUCUAUCGCGCCUAAAUUGGAAAUACGCGUUUUCACGCGCGCGAUUAAUUGAGGGACUUUAGACCAUUAUUUUGGGACAAUUAAGGGUGAAUAAUAUUUAUAUGAAUAUAAGUGCAUUAGAGGUUUAGUGCACUAGUGAAACAAAUGCAAGAGGAAUUGAGCACGAAACGCGCGCGUAAACGCGCGAGAGAGAGUUGACUUUUGCACCAAUUUUAGCCACACAUUAAAGCUUCCUUUGGAAGCCUCAUUUAGAUCAAAAUUUUCUCUCUCUUCCUUCCUAAGACAGCCGGCUCUCCCAAGAGCAAGAACCAAACUUGCUUCAUCAAAUUCUACUCCAUUUCAUGCACCAAAUCUCAACCAUUUCACACCAAAAUUGAAGACCACUUAGCUUAAAAUUUGGAGAGUGCAUCUAGCUACAAAAACAAGGAGCUUUGCACGGUUUUCUUUGGCUGAGAAAGGGCCAAAAAUUCUGUUUGGUUCAUCAACCAAAGUAAGUAGUGAUCAAUUCAUAGAAUCUUGUCUUUCGGAAGUCAUAUAGCAUGAUUAAGCUCUAGCAUGCUUUUGGUUAGCUUGUUUAUGGUGUAAAAUGAAAUGGGUGGGCUCUAUGGACUCCCACCUUUGUCUUGGGGACUGAUCUCAUACUUGAUGAUGGAUUUAAUGUUGGUUUAGUGCUCAAAAUGGUGGAUUAAUGGUGUAUUAUUAGUAGAAACUUCAAGGGGUGCAUGGAGUAAAAAGUUCCGAUUCUGCCCCUGCUUUGAACAUACCUAUUUAUGCAGAAUUUUGGAGAUUUAAUAGCUUAUAUAUGAUGUUUAUAUGUUGUAUAGACGGUGUAAAAAAUUUCAUUGAAAAAUAUUGAGGUUUGGUGGGUCAAAUGAAUCGAUUUCACAAAGCUAGUAAAUCUGGAACUGUUCCCGUAAUGCUCUGACCAGUUUUCGUGUUUCGGCCAUAACUUUGUGCUCCGACGUUGAAUCGAGUGCCAUCAGUGGCAUUUGAAACUAGACAUUCCCACCUUUCCGACGGUAUAAAAUUCAUGUUCUGGUUCCAUGUAUGUGAGCCGAACCAACCAUUUAAAGUCGGCUGUUCUGUUUCUCUGUUUUCCUGGAACGAAAUGCUGAGGCUGCAACUUGUGGCUCGAAUUCGAGCUAGUUGUGUGCCUAAUUUCAAAAUGAUUUCUUCUGUGAAAUUUUAUCUCUAUGAAUUUAUUUUCCAACGCCAUAAACCAUGCCCAAUUCCGAGUUAAGUUGAACGAUUUAUGAUCAAAAUACGGAACCUACCCUGCUCUGGAAAACCCUAACUUUUGGACAGAUUUGAUGCAAGGCUUGGUGUAGACUUGCUAACUGAAUAUUUUGGUGCUAAACACUUAUGAAAUGUGCCAUGAAUGUUCCUUAGGCUUUUCCUACACUAAUGAGUCAUGUUUGAGGAAUUUUUCCUUGACCAAAUGUUUGGAAUGGAAAACAAAAGGCUCAAGGCAGUUCUGUCUUAGGAUUUUCGAAACUUUGGUUGUUUGAGUGACUACCUUCCCGAAGGUAUUUUUCCAUGAAAUUUGGUAGAGGGAUACUCUUUAUAUAGGAUUAUUAUACUGCCAAAUUUUGUACCAAUCCAAGUCCAUUUCGAUACCUAACUAAAGUCCCAAAGUUGGAAGCUCAAAUCUGGAAAUUUGUUCACCAGUUUUGAAUUUUUCCAUAACUUUGAGCUACCGUAUCUCGGUGCUCCAAACUCCGAUUCUUGAUCCACUUUUUCUGUUAAAAACAUUACUUGUAACUCUAAUUGAGUUAUAGAUUUCAGAGGCUAGCUCGCAACGUGUGAAUUUUGCCGAAUUUCCAAAGUUAGCGAAAAACCAACCUUAAGUACUCUGAAACAGUAACUUUGAGCCCAUUUUUGAAUGUCUUCUAUUUAGAGUCAUGGAAAAGUGUCUUCUAAUAACUUUUAGUACUUUCAAAGAGGUUUCCAACGGUACCAAGUUUUCCAAUUUUUGACAUGUAGAAUGUGAGAUACGAUUUUUCAAAAUAUCAUAUCAAAACUGAAAAUUUUCCGGAUUCCAAAGGAAGGGAGUUUUCAAGCACUCCUUAUUCCUUCGAUAUUACUUGAACGUUUUAUACUUGAUUUUCCAAAAUAAAAACUCGAUCGCUCUUGUACUUUAAGAAGCUCUAAUUGAACCUCGAUUUACGAGUAAUUGAGGUUUGUUUUCAUGAAAUUUCCUUAGAUUGUACUAACAUACAAUCUUCCUUGAUAAUUGGGGCACGUGAAUGAUAAUACAUUAUAUUUUACUCAGGUGCACUCGAGGACCUUCAAGAGGAUCCUACAGUGAACACUUGAACUUCCAGAAAAUAUUUCUUCUUGAUUUGCUCGGUGAGUGUCAAGUGUAUGGCUACUUGAACUCUAUGGGCUUGAUUCAUGCUUGGCUUACCUGAUUACAUGCUUAGCCUACUUGGUUUUGAAAAAUGGAGUCGAGUGUGUACUUUAUCGCACUCGUUCUCAUUUGAAACAAAUGACUCAUGCUUAACAUGUUUUCCCUGGUUUACAUGAUCUGAAAUACAUGCUUAAACCUGUCGAAUGCUUUAUUACAUGACAUGGUAUGCUAUGGCCGCAUACGUCGUUGGAGUGAAUCUCCUCGACACUUACAUGAUACAUGGGGGACGCCCAAACUCAUAGGCCGACCUUGGAACUCGAGCCGGCAUGGGCUUGGUCGGGAACCUUGGUGAGCCAUGAGAAUCACAUGAUAAGCUUGAUCUAUUUGAGAGAUCUUGCUUGGUAUACUCGUGGAGUAUAGCCUUAUAAAUGUCGUGCGGGCCCGAAGCGGUGUAGGGUGGACGGAUGAGAAGUAAGUGGUGAUCUACGGUUUGGAAAUAUCGACCCGGUUGACGGAGAGUCAUCGCAGGAAGAUAUACGAAUGAACUGGCAAAGCAAGUGGAACUUAGCUCCUGAGAGCUACUAUAUUCUUGAAUUGUUUCUGCUUACUUUCACUGGCUUUAUUAAUUACUUGUAAUUAUCUCUUAGACUAUUAUUUGGGACUAUUAUCUGGACUACGUGCUUGCAUGUGUGUUAUUGGCCUCACGAGCAUUUUGCUCACCCUGUAGAUUUGUUUUCCUUAACAGGAUUGAACUCGGAGAUGUAUUGGAGAAACCCUCCUGAUGUGCUUUUGUUUAGGGUUUCUAUUACAUUUUGUCUAUGCCUUGGUUUUUGGGUUGUAUUUUUGAAUUUAAAAUGUAACUUUUGGGGCAUGAUGUAUAUUUGGGAUUCAUGAUGUACUUUGAGCACCUGACGUGCGGGUUGGAUAAUGGAUGACUGUUGUUAAGCUUGAACGCUUCCGCAUUUACUAUAUUUAAGUUAUUUACUUGUGUUGUGUAGACUGAUAAUAAGCUUGAAUGGAAUUGCUUGAGUCCUGGCGAGAAUUGGGCAGGCGUCCUGCGGAUACCCUUUGGUUCACCUUAGGGAGAAGUGGGGGCGUCACAUAUACAAUGUCAGUGUAGGAAAGAUUAAUCCAAAAAAAAAUCGAAAGAAAAAGAACAUAAAAAUAGAAAAGGAAAUAACAUGAAAAUUAGAACACUACUAGAAUGGAAGGACUUACCAUGUACUACUUGAUUAAACUAGUACCUUAAUAAGCAUUCUUGAAUAAUAACAUAUAAAUAGAAAAUUAACAAAAAUGAAAAUACAAAAUUAAGAAGGUAUUCAGAAGCACAAACACUGCUAUGCUUGAAAAUCAACAAGAAUGUAUUACUAGUACACAUUCUGGCACCAUUUUUACAAAAUCACAUCUACUACAAACUACUAUUCCAAAUUUCUUGUCAAGACCUUCUUCAACUAAUGCUUGCUCACUAUCAGAAUUGAUAUCCAUAUGAUCACUAUCAUCAUCAUCAUCUUCAUUGUAUUGCAAAAGUAUUUAACCUUCUGGUUGGCUACUAGUUUCAUUAGUACUACUAUAUUCUUCUUCUUCUUUAUCACCAUAUUUCUCUCUCUCUCUCUCUCUCUCUGUGUGUGUGUGUGUGUGUACACGAUCAUGUUCAUUACUAGUUUUCAUAAUCUUAAACUCAGCAUUUUCUUUGUGCAAUGAGUCAAACUCAGUAUCUUCAACUUGACCAAUAACUCUUGCUUCUUUUUCAUAAAAGGUAUCAUCUGUCUCUAUUUGUUCGUCAUUGUUGAUAUUUUCAUCAGUUUUUUCUAACUCAGGAAUGUUCCAAAGAUGCUUAUGUUGUACACAUUGAACUAUUUUUUCAAUUAUUGCCUAGUUUGGUAUCCAUGAUAUAAAACACUUGCUGCACCUAAUUUGGUAGCACAAAUGGAUCAUUUUGAUACCAUCAUGAUCAGAUAUCAAUACUAACAAAGUACUUGUCACAUUUCAUUGUCCGAGUACUACUCGUAUCAUACCAUUCAUAUUGGAACAACACCAUCUUAUAUCCUUUAAGAAAAGUAAGUUCUACAACUCUCUUAAUAAAGCCAUAAAAUGGAAUAACUUCUCCCUUGUGAUCACCAUCAACACCAACCCACUGUUUUGUGUUGUUCUACAAUCAUCUCUAUCCUCACUGUGCAAUCAAAUCUGAUUUCCAAUAUACCUUAAAUAGAUUUUUGUCAUAAUAGGGAUUGGGCUAUUUGUUAGUGCCCAUGGUUCAUCUGUAAUUCCUUCAACUUUCUAAGUAUACAAAUGAUUAAUCUAAUAACAAAGUACAAAAAGCAUAAGCAUUAAACGUCUACAUUUGUUAGAAAGACAAUUCUAUUUUAUGUCAACUACUUACAUGAUUCUUUAACCACUUUAAAAAUUGUGAUUGGUGCCUACUCUCAAUAUUCUCAAGUUGUAUAUUAAUGAACUCUUCCUUGUGCAAACUAUACAAAUUACAAAAAAAGGAUAAUAAAAAUAUUAGAAUCUGAUUAGUACCAAACAAGUAAAUAAAAGAUAAAGAAAUAAAAUAAAAAUGACCCAAACAAGUAAUUAUAGAUGGAAUAAAGUAAAGUCAGCCAACUUACAUUUGGUAGAGACCUACUUCUUCAUAAUUAUUCAAUAUAAACUUAUGUGUUACGUUCAAAAACUUUUGACUCAGUUUUUCAGUAACUGUAUUUAAUUCGAAAUGACAGACUUGCAAUGAGAAAACUAGCGGACCUUGAUCUCUAGGACUUAUAUCACGAUUCCUCUCCUUUUUAUUGAAUUUUGUUUCACAUCCGUGAAUGUAUUGAGACAUAAAAGUUAGGCACUCAUUUGCUACAUAUCUUUCAGCAAUUGAUCCUUCGGGUCUAGCUUUAUUCCGCACGUAUUUUUUAAGACACCCAAGAUUCAUAUUUAGCAAGAUAUAGUAGAGAUACAAUUGGGAUUAUUUCAUAUUACACAUAUGAACAAGAUUUGAAAAUUAAUGUAUAACAUAAUCAACUAAUAUUAGGCUUACCUCUCGAAUAGAAACAUCUAUCUAUGAUGAACUAGACCUCCUAGUUUUGUCUCUUAAAGCAAAUGAAUAAAUAGAUAAACCAUAAUGGUAAAGAAUGCAGGUGAAAAUAUUUGUUCCAACUUGCACAUAAUUAGAGAAAUAUUUCUUUCCAACCAAUUCAAGUCAUCCAGUUUGAGUGUCUUUGAACACAGAUUUCGAAAAAAACUCACUUAACUAAAAAAUUGUCUCAUUCACCUCUUUUUAUAAGUAUCCUUGAAUACCUGUCAAGAGAAAUCGUUGUAUCAAUAUAUGAUAAUCAUGACUCUUAAGACCUGAAAUUUUAUCAUCUUUAACACAGUGAGAUAUGUUUGCAGCAUACCCAUCUGGAAACUUAAUUGAUUUCAAAAAAAAUACAAAAUCUUUUCCGUUCACUUGAAAACAUCACAUAACAUGCAGCCGACUUCAAAGUUCGAGUACCAUUACUUUGCAAAUGCAACUGUUCUCUUAUUCCCAUGUCACACAAGUCUCUGCGAGCAUUAUUUGUGUCUUUAGUUUCUGUUUUAAUACCCAGCAAUGUCGCCAUCAAAUUUUCAGAUAUGUUUUUUAUGAUGUGCAUAACAUUUAGAAAAUGCCUUAUCUUCAAGUUCGGCCAGUAAGGUAAUUUAAAAAAAAUGCUCUUCUUUGUCCAAUUACCUUGAUUACGCUCACGUUUUCUAUUUUGUGUUUCAGAAUGCUUUCCAGGAGUGUCAAAGAACUCAGUCGAACUGUCUAACUUCUGUAGUAUAUCAGCCCCUAUCCAUUCUCUUGGCCUUGGUCUUUGCUCAACUAUACCAUCAAAUUUAUUCCUUUCUCUUCUCCAGCGAUGGUCAUGAGGCAAAAAAUGACGAUACCCCAUGAAAUCUAUCUUACAUCUUAAUUUUUGAGAGCUAAUAGCAUAAAGGUAACAUGGAUAUGCAUUAUAACCAGAAGUGCUCCAACCAGACAAAUAACCAUUCACUAAAAAAUCAAAUACAAUCCAUAAAAGUGCUGCAUGCAUGAGAAAAUUCUGCCCACUAUAUGAAUCAUAAGUCUCCAUGGCAUUCAGCCAUAAAUAUUUCAACUCAUCUAUCAAAGGUCUAAAAAUCACAUCUAUAUCUUUCCCUGGUGUAUAGGGAUCAAAAAUGAGUAAUGAUAGCAUAAAAUACUCUUCUUUAUAAAUUUAUAGGCAGGCAAAUUAUAAGGCACAAGAAUGAUAAGCCACAAACUAUAUGAGUUGCUCAUAAUUUCAAAUAUAUUGAAACCAUCAGUGGUCAACCCAUAGCCUAACAUUGCUAGUUUCUUGAGCAAAGUUGGGACUCAUCAAAAUGUUUCGAAGCAAUAGAGUCAGCUGGAUGCCACAUGACGCCUUCCUCUUUCACACGUUCCUUUUUCAUGCCAUUGCAUGUCCUUUGCAAUUUUAGAGGACAAGAAUAAUCUUUACAACCUUGGUUUUAAUGAAAAAUACCACAAUACCUUGUGAGGAGUUUUAUUUCCCUUACAAUCGAUUUUUUUCCAGCAAGAUUCUUGGCAAACAUGAUACUUUAUUUCUCUUUCAUUCUUUUUCCAGAAAAUUGCACAAUCAUAUUUGCACAUAUCAAUUUUCUCAUAACCUAAACCAAUGGCUGAUAAGAUUUUCAUAACUCUAUAUAGUGAAGAUGAAACUUUUUCACCUACUGGUACUACAUUCUUGAAUAAUUCCAAAAUCAUGUUAAAAACCUUGUUCGUCAUAUGAUUCAUUACUUUCAUAUUCAGUACAGUAAUGAUAAAAUGUAACAAGUAUUUGAUAUAUCUUGGGUAUAGUUCUCGUUGAGCAUCACUUAAUAGUCUAUCAAAAUUUUUGGCAUUCCAAUCAAAUGAAGGAUUGCGUUCUUGUGCCUCACUAAAUUUUUCCAACAAUAUUUGCAAUUCAUUACCCUAUUCCUCAUUAUCAUCAUUAGCACCAACAUUUGCCUCCCCAUUAUGAUUAAAUCUUUCAUUAAUAACACACGGAGGUACACUCAAUGAUUCUCUAUGAAAGACCCAAUUCUUAUACUUUUUUCAAAAACCAUUAUUAUGUACGUCAAAUUGAACCUGAAAAUAACUUUUCUUAGUUGAAUUCCUACAUGAAGCACAUGGACAAGAAAUUUUGUCCCAACUGGUGGAGUUUAUCCUAACAAAUUCAAUAAAUUCUUGAACACUAUCCUUGUAUGCCUUUGAAUAUAUAUUAUUGUCAUUAAUCCAGUUUUUUCCAUUGAACUACCUAAAAGUUAAAAUCAUUAAUGCAACAAACAUCACAUAUGAAACUUAGUUUAACCAUUUUUAAGUUCCAGUCUCGUAAAAUAAACAAAGUAGAAAACCAAAUGUUUCGAAUACACGAUAUGUAGCUUAUUAACAAGUUUAUAUGCAUAUAAAUAUUUGGAUAUGAAACACACAGCUGGUAUGAAUUAAAAGAAUACAACUAAAACAAAUAUAAAUAGAUAAUAGCAAAGUGCUUCGUUAAAUAAAAUAAGAGUUAGAAAAAAUAGCAACUUGCCUUGAAUAAGUAACUGUCUCCCAUUUUUUCCUUGAAUCAAAAUGUACAAAUUUGAAUAAAUAGUUGAGCUUCCCUAGAAGGAGAGAAAAACACAAGAUUAAAUAUAAAAGUAUUACCUUGGAAAAUUUUAUAUAUUUAAAGCUGAGAAAAAGUGACAGUAUAUUCCAUCGCUAAAUCUAGUUAAUUCAAAUAUUAUUGUUCGCAGUACCAAUACCAUUGUGAAAUGAAGCUAUUUAUGAUGCAAGGCAGGCAUGAAACUGGAAUUAGCAUUAUAUCACAUUGAAAUUAAACAUGUGUCCACUAUAGGAAAGAAUGCAUGAACAAGGUGAAACGAACACUAACGAAAAAAAAAAAAAAAAAAAAAAAAAAAAAGAAAGACCCCACAUAAACAAUGCUCAAAACAACAAGGUAAAAAUAUAAUGGUCCAAGUUGGACUGGAGUUCUUCAGUUUUGCAUGCUCAUAGUUAGCAGAUUAAUCUUUAACUAAAGUUGUUAGUUAGGCAUUUUCUCAAACGGGUUCUUGGUAAAAAAGAAUAUUUUUUCUAUUGAAUUUAAAAGUCAUCAGGUCACGAAAUUUCUCAUGUAAUCACUAUCAAUUCAUACUCAUUCAGACAAUAUUCACCUCCCAUCCAAAAUCAACAAGUCAAAAAAGUAAAUAUACCGUGUGAAAAAAAAUAAUACUUAGAUAAACCAAAUAAGAAUAAGAAUUUUAGGAUCCAAUCUAAUCAAACGUAAAUUCCUAUCAAAUUACAAAAAAUGGCAAAAAACUCAUAAAUCUUUCACAAGAUAAUAAGAUUAAAGAAGAAAUUUACCAAAUGAAAACUUUAAAAUAGGUCUUGGAGUCUUGGAGUCUUGGAGGAGAUAGGGCUUUACAAAGGGGUUUUUAAAAUUGGGACUUGACUUGUUCAAAUUGGGAUGUGUAGUUGAUUGAAACAAUCUCUGAUUAUGCUUGGUACCAAAAAGAGAUAGGAGAUUAGGUUUGACGGUGCAAGAAGAAGGGAGAAGUGCGCUUGGUACAUUCUUGAGUUUAGCUCAAGUACUAGAAUGGUUCAAGUGUUAGAUGACAGACAAGUGCAUUAUGUAUAUUCAUUACUUUUUUCAAAGUGACGUCACUUACUUUAGUGGGUUCUUCUUUUUUUUUUCUUUUUUUUUUUCAUCUUUCCCAACUUAAUUAAUGAACACCAAAAAAAGUGGUGGGAAAAUAAGGCGGGAGCUGAAUUUAUUUUUUUGUGAUGACAAUUCAUAAAAUUUAAUCCUAUUUGUGACAGCAUCCUCGUUAGCAUAGUUAUUUUCAUUCUUGAACUACAAAAUUACAAAAAAAGUAAAAUAUAUAGCUUUCCACCAAUAUUUCCCGCUAUUUAGCACCAAAUGGAGUUUGCAAAAUUUUAACUUUCUUGUGAUGAAAGAGAACAUUUUUGUGGUGACGGUUUCAAGCUAGCAUAUAUAAUCUAUUUUGGGUGAUGAAAGUUUGGAAUUCAUCAUAAAAAUGUAUUUUUGUGACGACUGCAGGGUUUAUCGAAAAAAUUUAUCAUAAAAAGUAUUUUUUUGUAGUGUAGUGACUCUUUAGUGAACUUAGGCCUGGAGGCCUAAGGAACGAGCCUUUAGAGUGCAUUAGGAGUCCUUUUUCUUUAUUUUCUUAUGAUGCAAAGUAAAGAGCUCAAACCCCAACUUCAAAAGGCAUUUUCGAGAACUAUCCUCCUUCCUUCUUACUCAUCAGACAAAGCAAAGAAACUAACAAUUGAAAGGAGCAAUCAAAAGAAGCACAAGAACAUUUAUAAAAAGAGAGAAAAAUCAAAGUAUGUUUAAUAUAAUAAUAGUAGAUAGCAUAAAAAGAAAAUUUCUCAUUCCAUCAUUCAGCCACGAAGGAAAACUAAAAAGAGGCAAAGAUGAUUUUGAUGUCCACUGAUCCAAUGAUCACCCCAAUCAUAAAAUAGAAGAGAUCGACAGGAAAGGAGCCCACUUACCUACUCUCGUUUUAUCCCAUGUUUGUGAGACCCCAUCUCUUUAAGGUGUGCCCCACUUGGAUGAGUUGCUUGAAUAGAACAGAGGCGCAAGUACUAAAGUUGUUGAUACUUGUGACAUAGCAUGCAUAGGUUUUCUCAAUCAAACUAGUUCCUGUAGAAUAGAACAUAAAACCCCGUAUUUGGUGGCAUUUGGCCAAAAUAGCAUCGAGAGGAAAGCCAUCCUCAACUAAAGUGGCUUCGACACUUUUCUGCACCACAAUCUGUGCUUCUAUGAUGCCUGCCCACUCAUUACGGCUCAUGUUUUUUGUAACGAAAUUGAUUGAGAGAUGAUGGCCCGACUCUUCCAUACGCUCUUGAGUAGGCAUUAAGUGAUUGUGAUUGGCAUCUUCAGGACUUAGGAGCUCACCUCCAUUUGACUGAUCAACCUCAAGAGCAACAGGCUCUAGGGAAUAGGGCACUGGUUGAUUUAUGCUUGCUUUGAAAGAACCGAGUUUUUACCAGAGUUGGUUCCAAAGAUAGAUGUCCAUCCCCAGUCAUCAUCCAUCAUGAAAACAAAGGAAUCGCAAAAAAAAAAUAGGAAUGAGUUUAUCCAACAAUUGAAAGUGAACUUGUGAAGAAAAUAAAAAUAUGAGAAAGAAUAUUAAGCCAGGAAGAAUCGAAUUCUUCCUUCUUUUUGAAAAGUGAAAGUAGCGAUAAAUAAGAAUAAAAAUUAUUAAAAGAAAAAAGAAAAGCAGCAUAUUUUGGAGGGUGGACAUUAUAGCUCUCCCUUCUUUUCCUAGAAAAGAUGAAAAAAAUAUGGCUACAAAAACAUUGAUGAAUUUUGAAAUAAAACGCUUUUAAAGCUGUUUGCAUAGGACUACAAGAAAUAAAUUCUUUUAUUCUCUUGAUCUUGUCUAUCCUAUAACGUUUUUUAAUAUCUUUUAUUUUCAUGGAUUAAAUAAAAGUUAAAACACUUUCUUUUAAUUAUUCAUCUAGUUCGAUCUUUCGUUCGUUUGUUAAGCCACAUUUUUCUAAAAAGGAUUGUCGUAAUUCUAGUUUUACACUAUUUGAAAUAACUCUAUCAUAUUGAGAAAUUUUGUCUAGUGGCAUUCAAUCACAAAAUCCAUUGACAGCUGCAUAAAUGACUAAAAUUUGUUUUUCAAUUGGAAGUGGUGCAUAUUAUGGUUGUUUUAGUACUUUUAUCAGCCUUGCACCUCUAUUGAGUAACGCCUAAGUCGUAGCAUCAAGGUCUGAGCCAAAUUAAGCAAAGGCAGCCACUUUGUGAUAUUGUGUCAAUUCUAGUUUUGAACUACUGCAGGCUUGUUUCAUAGCUUUCACCUGAGUGGUAGAUUCGAGGCAACUGAUAGAUAAGCCAAUGUUAAUAGCAGGUCUAAUUCCACGAUAAAAGAACUCUAUUCCCAAACAGAUGUGUUCAUCAAUAAUGGGGAUCACAUUGGUGAGAAUAGAGCAGAUACAUCUCCAACUUGUGUUUCAAUGAUGGGUAAGGCAGUCAAACUACCUGCGCCUAUCUAGUCUAAUCAUUUAGCCACUCAUUUGUAAUAGACGAGAAUGUAAAUCGAAAACAUCCCGUGGGAAAGUUUCAUGAGCUAGUGGUCGGCGUAACAAUAAUGACAUUUGUUGAUAUGCCAUUGCUUAUUUACUAAGAUCAUCAUAAAUUAUUAAUACGUGCAUCCUAUUAUCAUAGAAAUAUUCCCCCAUGAUACACCUUGAAUAUAGGGCCAAAAUUUGCAUAGGAGGAGGAUCUGAAACGGUGGCUGCUACAAGAAUAGAAUAUUUCAAAACAUUCGCUUCUGAAAGAAUUUGAACUAGCCAUAGUUGAACGUUUUUGUCCAAUCGCUACGUAAAUACAAUGCAAUGUCUCACUCUCAGAGAUGGCCUUUGAAUUCAUUUGCUUUUUUUUUAAUAUGGUAUCGAUAGCGAUAGUUAUUUUCCAAUUUGUCAGCCCUCGAUUAUAAGUUCUCAUCGACCAUGACCUAUAGGAACAAGGCUAUCUACCGCUUUUAAACCUAUUUCCAUAGGCUCAUGCACAGAUUUAUGUUCAAUAAUCCCAGGGCCUUUCAUUUCAACAUGUUUUCACUUGUGAUCGCUUAGAGCUCCUCUUCCGUCAAUAGGUACUGCCAACACGCCGAUCACAUGCCCUAGCAUAACCUUUCCCAUAGGAACAUCCACAAUAGAUUCAGUACGUUGACAAGAUCUCUUUCUUUAAUAGCAAUAUCACUACCAAACACAACAAUCCCUACAUUUUCAUUCUCAAGAUUCAAGCUAUUUUUUUCACACUAUUGGCAAAUUCAACGAUUUACACAUCUUGAAUCUCGUUCAAUCCAUAAACACGUGCAAUCCCAUCUUCAACUGAGACUACUUCACUGAUCUCAUCUACUUCCAAAUUCGAGAUGCAACUCAUAUUAAAGGAUAAGCGGUUUAGAAACUGAUCACUAAUAGUAAUAGAGCAUGUGCAUUCAAAGAUAGAAACCCGUUUUUCUCUUCCCAACUAAAAUAUCAUCUAGCUUUUUGUGUAAAACAUGCCUAUCAGACAUUCUAGAAAUGUCAGCAAGUGGCCAUUUGAAUUUAUUUAUAAAAAAAUCUACUGAAUAAAGGAUCAUUAUCUUGAAAAUGGCUAUGAAUCUACUACUUAUCAAUAAAAAAAAUAGAAUUGACUAAACAUAGCGAAAGAGAGAAUCGAGAGCCUUGAAAGGAGCUGCAAAUGCUACUUGAAGAAUAACAAGCAUUCAUAGUGGGAGCGAUCCUCUUUGGUGACCAGAUUGACUAGAAGAGUCUGUCGAUGCAAAGCAGUGUUUUUUUUUUCAAUGCAUGGCUUUUUUUAGAACUACAAAGCAAGUCAAGAGCAUAUACAACUAAAUUAGAAGGGAAAAUGACCUAUUUCAUCCCUCACAUUUCAUAAAAAUAUUCUUUUCGUCCCUCACUUUUAAAAUGAAGCAAUUUCAUCCCUGACAUUUAAAAAUUAAAACUAUUACAUCCCUGAACCUAAUUUUCAAUUUGAAUCAAACCAUCCAAUAACCCAGUAAUAAAUUUUGGAGAUAGAGUUGAUAGGUCACUCGGUCAAUUUCAUCAUAUUCACGUGACAUUUAUCAAACCAAAAAAAUAAACAUUAUAACAUAAAGGCCAUUAUUUGUCUUGGAAUAGUCGGGUUUUUCUUUUGGGUAAAUCUUUUCAUGCAUCGUUAGUAUAUUCGCUUGCGAGUCUAGAUGUGUAUCACAAAUACAAAAUUUGGUGUUUAAAUUUAAAUUGAAAUGAUAUGGUAGGUACAUAAAACCAUCAAUGUAUACAAUGACAAUGUAGGAAUUCAAGUUGAGUUAUAUUCAAGUUGAGUUAACCAAGUGAUCUACCAAUUAUACCUCCAAAAUUUGUAAUCAGGUUGAUAGGUGGUUUGAUUCAGAUUGAAAAUUGGGUUCAAGGAUGUAAUAUUUUUAAUUUUGAAAUGUCAGGGAUGAAAUUGUUUCAUUUUAAAAGUAAGGGAUGAAAAGAAUAUUUUUGUGAAAUGUGAGAGAUGAAAUAGGUCAUUUUCCCAAAUUAGAAAGUCAAAACUAAAAAGCAGAACUCAUUGCUACUACGAAUUCGAUCCCUUUAAAACCAAUUCCUUUAGAGCAAGACUUUGGCAAAGAAAUCGCUAAUAGGCUAAACUCUUAGAGCUUGGAUAUAAAAGCCUACUAAAAAAUUGGAUGCACAUUAAAUUAAAACAAAGAACUUUUCACUCUUUUGAUAUCAAGAAAGACUAAAGAUGGGAGAGUACACAUAGACAUCCUCAGGAAAGAACUAAUGAACUAUGACAUCCCUAACACUUAUGCAAUGAGAUACCAAGCAUCUGAUACCACCUACAAAGCUAAGAGGCCACUGGCGCUGAAUAUGACCCAUAACGAAUGCUAAUCACCACCAGCAUUUGAUGUCAUCUGAUAAGAGAGAUCUCUUUCGGCAAAAAAUUAUACCAACGAUUCGAAUUAUUAUGCUUGAUAAAAGGAACAAGGGAAACUUAAAUAAAAGAGAGCGGUACUGCAAUUAAAAUAGAAAUUUAGGCAAGACACGUACCUCUUCCGCAACAAGGCAUUUUUUCAUAAAAGUCUAAUCACGUCCCACCACUAUUGUCUUUAGUCUCUAAACUCUCGUAAGGCCACUCUCUCCUCGAAAAUUGCCAGGUGUGAAAUGAUCCCUUUUCGUCAAGGAAAGAAAGCUAAUAGCAGCUUAUCUUAGGUUUGAGUUUUUAUUUCUUUUACUCUCAUUUAGUUAGAGGUUCUUUCUUUGGAUUUAAUUUAAAACCUAUAGUGGUUUGAAGCACAUUCGAUUGAAGUCCAUUUUUUUUAUUUGUGCCCUUGGAAAGCGUAGUGGCAAGUGGCAAAUGCAGUAGGAUUGAGAGGAGGGGGACUAUCAGGCUUGUAGUAUGAGCAGAUCUAGUAAUAUUAGCAAGCGAUGAACUGCUAAUAACUGAUGAACUGAGAGUGCAAGAUGAAGAGAAUUCAGACUCCUUGGGAAACACUUUUGUGCUCUAUAGAAGAGCCAUGAAAAAAUGACCUAGAUUGAGAAAUGUAGACAUGAUAGAAGAAAAAAAGAUUGACUAGGCAAGAGACGAACAAAAAUAGGAGGCUAGUAGACACCUAAGGAGGAAGCCUGUUACCUUUUACUACCAAUACUCUGCCUUAUUCCUUAUUUCAUUUCCGCUCUAUCUUCUUCACUAUUUCUUCAUUUCUCAUGCUUCUAUUUUAUCUCUCUUAAAAGCAAAGCGCUAUUUCAAUUGAAGUUGGUAAAAUCUAUGAUAGAUUGAAGCUAUCUAGUGCAAGCAUUCCCUCUUGCCUCUCUCUAUACUGCCCUAUUCUCCGCCUUUUCUUUGAAUCCCAUGUAAGCUGGUCAAUUCUGCCUUUAGUUCUUAUUCAUGUUCUAACUAUUCAUUUAUCCUUUUGCCGUAUUUCCUGCCUUUCUUAUUGUGCCUUUACAGUUGUCAGCGCAUCAUCUUUUGCAUGUCUCUGCAAAUAGAUUUUGAAAUAUAAGACUGAAAUGCCAUUCGACAAAUAAAAAUUAGAAAUGCUGAAGCACGUAUUGAGAUUCAUUCAAGUCUCUUUGAUUUGGUUCUCUCAGUAGUUUCGUAUAUAUAAGAGGCACUGUGUGUUAUAUUCAUUCAAACUCAUAAUGCAAGAACGAGUAGAAUAUCUGCUCUUUAGCUUAACUAGUUAUACCGAGAAUUCAUGAUAAUAGGUGAAAGGGGGGAAAUUUUUGAAAAAAAAAUAGUCUUUUUAGUAGACAUUCUGACUUGUAAAGAUAGUCUAGCAAGUUUGGACUACGGACACUUAGCUAACUAGUUAUUUAUUAGCCUAACCUAAUUCGGUGUAAAAUUCAUUAAACUGCUAAGGUACCGCUAUCUCAUUGGCUGAACCAUGGCACUAUACUCAACAAAUGAAAAUCUAACAAAAUCUUUCAGGAAUGAGCUUAUCGCCUUGUAAUUGAGAGGUUCCUUGUUGCCUAUGAGUUUUAUUUGGAACAGAUAAUGGAAAUCCCCUUUCCAUUUUCUAUUUCCAUUAUCUAACUUAACUCAAGUUUGUUUAGCAUCCUUAGUUGAUUUGAUGAGAUGGUCCAAACUUCAGUUUGUGACUGGAUCCUUUAAUAAAAAGCCAAUUUUUUUUAUGGGUGCCACUUUUCAAGGACGUAAUUGUAGUAAUCAAGAUAAGAUGCCAGUCCCUUCCAAUAUGAGUGUCAGACUUGCUUACUGCCCCUGUGACCCAAUACAAUCUCUAUUUGAAGUUGUUGCAUCUACCCUAACUUCUGACGAGUGGCCAGUCUCCAACCCUUUUAUAGGAACAAAUCUCGGUCUUUUGAACAUCAAGUCAAUCUAAAUGAAUCCUUAUAAUAUAUAAGAACAUGUUUAAGGCCACUCAUUGCUUGGAAAGUGACCCAUUUCAACUGCUUGUGUGAAGGGUUGUUUUUGUCUCAUAAAAAUUGUGUUGAUGUUCAAGUUACUUGUGGUAUACAUGCUUAAUACUUGUGUUUAGAGUAAUUUUACCUAUUUGACCUGUAGUAGGGCUAAUGGGGUCUUUAUGGUGGGACAUGUGUCUUUGGUAUAUGUUAACCAUGAUGGGUUGUUUUAGUAAUAUGAGUGCUUUGUUGAAAUUAGUGAUGCAUAUGGUACAAAUACAUAUAGCUUUCGAUAAUUUCUUAUUGACACAUUUCACAUUUACAUUAAUUUACCGCUCAAUUAAAUGAUUUGAGUUUGUUUUGUGGAGAAAAUUUUUUAAAAAGAAGCCGAUAAAACGUGAUCUUGAUAAGAAGAGUUUGAACCUGCAUGACAAAACCAUUAACUAACUUUGAAUGAAAGUCUGGAACUAACACACCAUUUUUGAAUUAUUAGAAAAAAUGAAUGAAAAAAUAAUUACUUUUUACAAUAAAUAAUGAACUAUAGAAUUCCCAAUAUCUUGAAACAUUUGAUGAGAUAAAAUGUUAAAUUAAACAUAAAACUUGAAUCCCUAGAUCCUGUUGAUGAAAAGCAUACUCUAAAAAUAUCUACACAAACGAACUAAUGAGGUGCCAAUAUUGACAUCCUAUUCUAUAAAAUUAUAUAUUAAGUUGUUUCUGAACUAAUCAAGUAUAGAAUAUCACAUUUGUGCUCAUGUUAACGGUUUGUUCUAUACUAAUGGAUAUUAAUCUUAGUGGAGUUUCUGAGAUGUAUCCCAGCAUCACUAAACUAAUUUAACACAAUCAGAUAUCUAACUACUUUCAGUCAUGGCACUUUCACAAGAAAGCAUGAUAAUUAUUUUUUGUAAGUAAAAGCCAAAAAAAAAAAGAAGGAAAACUAAUUGUAUGGGAAACUCACCUCAAUUCAAAGGAAAAUCCAUGUUGAUAACCAAACAUAUUACAAAGAUAAAAUCUAUAGGCAGCAACAUAUUUAGCAGCCAUUCAAUCAUAAAAGCAAAGGGGGAAAACGAAAAAAGAAAGAAGGCCAUGCGUAGCAAAUGUGGAAGAAGAAGAAAGGCCACAGGUGGCAAACGUGGAGGAGGUACUGCACCAUCUGGUAGUUGUUUAAUAAGUAGAGCUAUUAAGAGGAGUUAAGUGGUUCACAAUCGAUUAUAAAACUAUAAAGUUCCACUCCAAUUGGGGCAAAAAAGUCAUUUCAUUCCACACUUAUCAUUUAUCAUAUGUACAAUUUUCAAUGACGUUGCAAGUAUCACGGGUAUAUAAGUAAUAAAAAUUCAAAUGAAAACUUUGUCUUCUGAACCCAUGGCUUCCUUCUCCAUUACUACCAUGUUUCCAAGAAAUUUUUCACUUUAAUCGUAAAUCCACCUGCUCCACUACAUUACUGCUCCCUUCUCCUCUUACGAACCCUCCUUCCUUCCUCCCUCGACAUUCUCUUCCUCUUAACUCUACCUACAGCUGCCACCACCGCCUCCUCUAUCCUCUUCCUCCUCCUCCAUCCUCUUAUUCUCAAAAUCUACUAGUGACUUCCAUUCAACCUUUUCUCACUGACAUACUACAAAAUUAUUAGUAUUUUUUAUAUAUUCCCAUUUCUUAUUUUUAAUUGUUUGACAUGAUUUUUUUUUGCUUAUGAUUUCACAUUUUAUUAAGCUUUUGGUUGCACGUAGGAUUUUAGAUUUUUUAAUUUAUUGAUUAUUUUGAUUAAAUCAGUAUUUUUUGGAAUUUGAAUUGGACAGGUACUUAUGAAAAAAUUUUAUAGAGACCUACCAUUUUCUUGAUGUUAGCAUUUGAAUUUUUUCUAUAGAUUGAUUUUUUGAUUCCUCUAUUGUGUUUAUCUACUUCAGUAUUCAUUGCUGUUAAAUUUAUUUUUGUAUCUCACAUCAAAAAUUUUACAAAGAGGUGUCAGAGUUUCAGGUUUUAGAUUAUUGAUGACAAUAAUAAAUUAUCAAUAUCAAUUUUGGGACAUUGAUUUAGCGUUACCGAAAGUGGAGAAAGAACCUGUUGGAAUUCAAUUGGAUUUUUUGUAAAGAAGAAUUGUUUGUCCCAUUGGAUCUCAUUGAGGGCUUUGAGGAAAGGUGAAAUAAGAUUACUAUGUUUGUAUUUUUAGUCUGUGGGGAUCUAUUAAAUCUUUUGUUUUAUAGAGCAAAUUAGUGGGUUUUUAAUCUAUUAAGUCUUUUGUACUAUUUAACCUCUUUUGUAUUUUCAAUUUUAAGUGCUUUUAGGCCUAAGAAUUAUUUCGUAGAUUUUAUGUACUCUCUUUUGUACUAUCUUUCUGUUAUAGUAAAUUUGCUACUCUUUCGUUCGUGGACAUAGAUCAAUACGGCCGAAUCAUAUAAAUUUUGUAUUUCUAUUUUAUUUAUUUUCUUUUUUAUUUGUCUUUUAGGAUUGCCAAAAAUCCUUUUGUCAAUUUCCUAGAACUAGACCUAAUACUUGCCUCUUGAAUUUUUCUAUCUAUUCCUUUUUUUUGUUAUUAUUUUAGGAAAAUAUGUUAAAACAGUCAAAUAGAAUAGGAAAGAGAAUAUUUUGUAUAUUAAUUUGAUUAGUUUGUUGCCAUCCUAGUAAAAGUCAAAAGCUAAUUUAUAGGCAUUAGAAUAUGAUUUAAUUGGUAUUGUAUCAUGUAUAAAGUUGUACCUUUUACUCUUGAAUGAUUAUAAGAACAAAUUCUUUCACUAAAAUAUCUUCUUAUUAUGGUAUCAGAGCACCGAAUCUAGGAAUCUGAAAACUUUUCCUCAUUCCAUUAUUAAUCAAGGGAGACACAAACAAGCCAACUCAAUUAAGCAUGGCAUCUUCAUAAUUUUGACAAUCCCAAUCAACCUUUGUAUCAACUUAGAUUGAUUCUUGUAUCACAAGUUCUGACUGAAGAAAACUACAACACAUGGAAUCACUCUAUGAUUAUGGCCUUAACAGUCAAAAACAAAUACAGCUUUGUUGAUGGAUUGAUUUUACGACCAAACGAAAAUGCAGAAGACAAAUUGUAGCAGUGGAUUCGUUGCGACAAUCUCGUCAAGACCUGGAUAUUAGGUUUACUUUCCAAGGAAAUUGCAGCAAGUGUUCUCUAUUAUGAUGAAACAAAGGCAGUUUGGGAUGAAUUACGUGAACGUUUCUCUCAAGUAAACCGUGUCAAACUUUUUCACAUUAAAAAUGAGAUACAUGAUUGUAUGCAAGGAACCAUGUCUGUUAGUUUCUACUUUACCAAACUCAAAUGAUUAUGGAAUAAAAGAGACAUCCUUUUUUCUAUUGCAGCUCGGCAAUAUGGAACUAUGAAGGAAGAGCUAUUCUAUUGAGAAAUAGAGAAAACCAUCAAGUUUCUUAUAGGAUUGACUGAAUCCUUUGAAACAAUACGGGGACAAAUAUUGACAAUUGAUCCCUUUUUAAAGGUCAUAAGGCUUAUUCCCUUGUGCUUAGACAUGAACGACAGCGAGGUAUGUCUUCAGAAAAAGAAUAUAGGUCAGCUUGAGGUAGCAACAUUUACAAUCAAGGAUCCAAAUAAGAGGGGCAGUAAUCAUGUGUGAAAAAUGUGAAAAAAAAUGGAUAUAGCACAGACAACUGCCGAGAACAUUUGAAGUGCUCUUAUUGUGGAUGGAAGGGCCACACAAUUGAUCUUUGUCGAAAAACUCAAGAAGGAUCAAUCAUUUUGAAUGAUUAUAGCAAAGCAAGGUAAUCAAUUUGGUGCUUCACACCAAGUUGAAAAAACUGACAUACCCAACUCAUUGCCUUUCACUCAGGAACAGUGCCAACAAAUCCUACAAAUGCUUAAAGAAUAAUAAGUCUUCCAUGGCAAAUCAAGUUAGUAAUUCUUUAGUUCAUGAUGAACUUUCAGGUAAAAUUCUUUGUUUUUCAUCUCAAGGCAGGAAAAUCACAUGGAUUCUUGAUAGUGGAGCAAUUGAUCAUAUCAUCUGCAAUCUUGAAUUGUUUAUCACUUAAAAAAUUAUUAGAAAUAAGACAGUAAAACUGUUAGAUGGAUCUAUUGCUGAUGUUACACAUGUUGGUCGAGUUAUGUUCUCAUCUAGUUUGGUUCUUGAUGAUGUUUUAUGUGUCUCAAAUUUUUAAUUAAACCUCAUCUCCAUAACACAGCUUGCCCGCUACUCCUUUUGUACCAUCACAUUUCUUACUUAUCUUUGUGCGAGAUAGGACCUACGCUCAAAGAAGAUGAUUGGGUUGGGAACUGAACACAGGGAACUCUACUAUCUUGAUGAAGCACAGACACCCUCGUGUAAUUCGGCCAUUCCCUCUUCCUCCAUUAUUUGGCAUCAACGCCUUGAACACUCUUCAAAUAAAGUGUCUGUUUUAUUUUCUAGUUUGGAUAAUAAGUUUUGUUGUACACAUAAUUGUUCGGUUUGUCUCUUAGCAAAACAAACCAGAUUGCCUUUUCUCUUGAGUAAACUUUCUAGUCAAAUACCUUUUGAGAAAUUGCAUAUUGACAUUUGGAAUGGAUACUGCGUUUCAUCUGAUCCUGGAGUUUGAUGCUUUCUCACCAUCAUUGAUGACUUUACUUGGUGCACUUGGGUUUACUUGAUACGUUAUAAAUCUGAAACUCAAACCCACCUAAUCAAUUUCAUUAAUAUAGUUGAAACUUAAUUUUCUUGCAAGGUUAAGGUUGUGCACAGUGACAAUGGCCAUGAGUUCAUACUCAAAGAAUAUUAUAUGUCCAAAAAGAUCAUCCAUCACACAGUUGCGUUGACAUUCCAUAACAAAAUGGGGUGAUUGAAUGGAAAUAUAGAUAUUUGGUAACUAUGACACCAGUUUUGUUUUUCCAAACCCACCUUUUUAAAAUCUUCCGGGGGAAUGCCAUUCUGAUUUCUACAUACCUUAUAAAUCACACACCUAUGUCCAUUUUGCAAGGAAAAAUAUCUUAUGAAUGGUUUUUUAAUUCAACACCCAAUUACUCACAUUUAAGAGUAUUUGGAUGUUUAUGUUUCGCCUCCACUCAUGCCCAAAGGCCAUCUAAAUUUGAUAAACGUGCAACCCAAUGUAUUUUUCUUGGCUAUCCUUAUGAAAAAAAAAGAUAUCGAGUAUAUGAUCUUGGACUCCACAAGUUUUUGUGUCUCGUAAUGUUACCUUCUUUGAACAAGAAUUUUCCUUCAAAAAUGCUUUCGUUGCUAUUGAGAAAUCCGCUACAUCUACUCAUGAUAAAUUCAUUUUCUAUGAUGAUCUUGUCAUAUUACAAAACUCCAUCGAGACACUUACCCUAAGAAUGCUGUCAAUAAUUCUCAUCAUAUUAUUCCGACUUCUUCCAUACCUGCUUCUGUACACUGUUAUUUCACAAGACCAACCAAAUGUCUUCCCUUUCUUCAGAAUUAUCAUGUGGAAGCAGUCCUCUCGUCUCGGCCUGACCCCUCAUCAACCUCUAGCAUGGUCACCACUUCAUGUAUGCCACACAAUCUUUCUCAAGUCCUUUCAUAUGACCAAUUAUCUACCUCUCAUAAAAUUUUUACCACUUCUUUAAUCAUUGUAAAAAAACCAACUAAUUUUUUACAGGCUCUGAAGGAUCCUCUGUGGCACAUAGCCACGCGCAAUGAAAUCGAUGCCCGCCAAUCAAACAAUACAUGGACACUUAUGUCUCUCCCACUUGACAAGAAAUCAAUAGGAUGUAAAUAGGUGUACAAAAUGAAACUCAAAUCCGAUGGAACCAUAGAGCGUUAUAAGACUCGUUUGGUUGCCAAAGGAUACAAUUAGAUUGAAGGACUUGAUUACCGAGAGACUUUUGCCCCGAUUGCUAAGUUUGUUAUUAUGCGUGUCCUCUUAGUGUUGUUGCAAUUCAAGGAUGGAAUCUCCACCAAUUUGAUGUCAACAAUGCCUUUUUGCAUGGCGAUCUUGAUGAAGACGUAUACAUGUCCCUACCACCGGGAUUCGGACGAAAGGGAGAGACUCGAAUAUGUAAACUUAACAAGUCACUCUAUGGCUUGAAACAAGUUUCUCGACAAUGGUUUCUGAAAUUAUCUUCAGCUCUUAAACUUGCUGAUUUUCAAUAAUCAAAGGCAGAUUAUUCAUUAUUCGUCCGAUUUCACAAAGGUAGUUUCGUAGUAAUUCUUGUAUAUGUUGAUGAUGUGAUCUUAACAAGUAAUGAUAUGCAACAUAUUCAAGACUCGAAAGAAUUUUAUCCGAACAAUUCAAAAUCAAGGAUCUUGGUCAGCUCAAAUAUUUUUUGGGAAUAGAGGUGGCAAGGUCUUCGAAAGGUAUUUCUCUCUCUCAAAGAAAAUAUGCAUUAGAGAUAUUAGAAGAUGUUGGAUUUCUAGGAGCUAAACCAGUAAGGUUUCCCAUGGAACAAAACUUGGCUUUUACACAAUCUGAUGGAGAUCUUCUGAAUGACCCUUCAAUGUAUAAGCAUCUUGUAGGAAGGUUGAUCAAUUUGACUAUCACUAGGUCAGAUUUGGUCUAUGCAAUUCAUGUUUUAAGUCACUUUAUGGGCAAACCACGUGUGUAAUAUCUUGAAGCAAUACAUAGAGUUCUUAGAUACAUAAAGCAAACACUAGGAUAAGGCAUUUUACUAUCCUCUACAAGCACACUUCAAUUAAAGGCCUUUUGUGAUGCGGAUUGGCCAUGUUGCAAAGAUACAAGAAGGUCUAUAACAGGGUACUGCAUAUUUCUUGGACAAUCACCCAUUUCUUAGAAGACAAAGAAGCAAACUACGGUGGCUCGAUCAACUGCAGAGGCAAAAUACCAUUCUAUGGCUACUACUUGUUGCGAAGUUACUUGGUUGAAGAAUGUCUUGAGAGACUUAGGAAUCAAACAUCCCCAACCAGUCAUAUUAUUUUGUGAUAAUCAAGCUGCUUUACACAUUGCCUCGAAUCUGGUCUUUCAUGAACGAACGAAACACAUUGAAAUUGACUACGACUUAGUUCGUGACAAAAUUCAAGAAGGCUUGAUUAAAACAGCACAUGUGAGGACCAAUGAUCAAAUCGCGGACUUAUUCACCAAGGCGAUGAGUACACUGUCAUUUGAGAUAUUACUUAGUAAGCUGGGUGUUAUUAACAUAAACUCCAACUUGAGGGGGUGUGUUAAAAACAAUCAAAUAAAAUAGGAAAGAGAAUAUUUUGUAUAUUAAUUUGAUUAGUUAGUUGCUAUCCUAAUAAAAGUCAAAGCUAAUUUAUAGGCAUUAGAAUAGGAUCUAAUUGGUAUUGUAUCGUGUAUAAAGUUGUACUUUUUGCUCUUGGAUGAUUAUAAGAACAAAUUCUUUCACCAAAAUAUCUUCUUAUUAAAAUCUCUAAAUACGAUUUCAAAAGAAGUGUUUUUACACUGGAAUAGCAAUAGAUUUGAUAGAUAUUACUUGAUAUUAUUUACUAAACUGAAACACUAACUUGAUGUUCUUGAUUCUAUUUGACAACUUCUUUUUUUCUUUUUUGGUUUUGAAAAUUUAGUCUUUGAAAUCUGGUAUGUUUGUGUCAUGUGCUCGAUGACCUUUUAAAUAAUGAAUUUAGUAUAGUAUUUGUCCUUUUUUUUAUCGACUAUUUGUCCUUCUUUUUCCAUUGACUACAAUAACAUUUCUCUAAUCUAAUAUAUUCUAUCCUACAAUGAGGGGAGUCUAAAGAGGCAAUAUAAAGGACUAACGGGUAUAUAGACUCGAUUAGACCAAAAGGGAUGCUCUGGCAUUCUUAUUCUAUAGAGGGGUAGUCUGACAUUCCUAUUCUAUAGGGAUGGAGAACCUAAAGAUGGUUAGCAUUUAUACAGAUUCGAUUAGACUAAAGGGGUGCUCUGGCAUUCCUAUUCUACAAGGAGGGAGAACAUAAAAAGACCGUAUAAGUGUGGCAUGUAUAUAGACCUGACUAGAUCAAAUGGUGCUUUGGUAUCUCUUUUGAAUUUUUUCAUUGCAGGUGGAGUUUGAACCCAAGAUCUAUAGUCCAAAGAAGGAAUUUAAUCCUACUUUUAAUGGCCACAGAGCUAAAACUUGUUGGUUAGUACAAUGUUUGUUGGUUUGUGAAUUAUUCGAAAAACAUAUACCUCAUGCAUAGUGUGAGGGGCAAACACUCAUGUUUUUGUUUUCUUCCUUAAUAACACAGAUUGCAUUUUUUUUUUUUGAAGAAUUAGCGAGUUUUAUAUAAAAAUAAGAAUUUACACUCUAACCAUCAAUUUUCCCCUCUUAUCUUCCUCUAUAAUUCUAAGAUUAAGGGGGAAAUUUGACUCAAAAUAACUUUAUUCACCCUAUUGAGAUAACUAGCCAUAAAGUCAGCAGUUUGAUUAUAUUGGCGAUAUACAAAAUAUAUAGUCAGCUCCUUGAAGCAUGAGAUUAAAUCCUUUAUAUCAGAAUAUGCAACUAGAGCCCUCCAAGGACAGUCACUUUUGCUGUUUAAGAUAUUUACAACAAGUUUUGAAUUAGUGUGGAUCUCAAUACGUUUCCUUCUCUUGAGUUUAGCAAACACCAAUGCUUCCUUGAUGGCUUCCAACUCAUGGGUUAAUAUUGAAUCAGCGCAUAGUCUAAUAGCCUUGGAUUGAUUCCUUGAUGGCUUCCAAUAAAGAUUGGUUCCCAAAUCCUAAAAGCAAAAAUGCACUUUCAUCCCUUUGUUUGGGGUAUUGGACAAUUUUGUCCCUAAAGUUUUAGUCAAAACAUGUUUCAUCCUUAUAAUUUUAUAAUUUUGACAAAUUUCGUUUCUAAAGAUUCAUACAAACACAAUUUCAUCAUCAUAAUUUCAUAAAUUUGACUAAUUAAGAACAAUUGAUGGAUUGCCAGGUGAUUUGAAUGAAAUAUCAUCACUUGACUAUAGCAUGCCCGUUAAUAAAAUAAAAAAAAAUAUUAGAUCAACGAAAACCUCAGAAAUUGUUUUUUAAUUCACUUUCUUAUUUAAGAAAAAAUUAAAAAAUUUCGCCCACCAUUAAUCUCCUAUUAAUCACAAAUUAAACAAAAAGAUUGAGAGGAAACGAAGUUGGGGAGAGGAAAAAACCCUAUUGUAGUCAAUAGGAGAAAAUUUUCAAACAAUCCCAUUACAACCAAUUAGAGAAAAAUAUUAGUGUGAACAAAAGAAUUGUUUAGAUUGUCAUUUAUUUGCAAAAUUAUGGUUUGUUGUAUCAUAUACAUGCUUUUCAAAUUGUCUAUUUAUCCAAUUUAUUUUUUUAACUCACAUACUGCAUAUCAUAAAUUAAAAAAGAUAAUCUCUUAAUCGAACACACUCAUUAUUAUUUCUAUAAUUUAAUCGAUGAUUGAAUUAAGUAUUAAAAAUACAAUUAUUAACAGGACAUGCUAAUCAUGUGAUGAUAUUCUAUCCAAAUUGGUUAACAAUCAUUUAGUUGUCUUCAAUUGGUCAAAUUUAUGAAAUUAUGAUGAUGAAUUGUGUUUGUAUAAAACUUUCGAGAUGAAAUUGAUCGAAAUUAUAAAACUACGAGAACAAAAUGCAUUUUGACUGAAACUUUAGGGACAAAAUUGUUCAAACACUCUGAACAUUAGGGAUGAAAAGUGCAAUUUUCCCAAAUCCUAAAAUACAACCUCUUAAUAAUUUGAAGGGUUUUUGGAAGAGUUUAUCGGUCUUGUUGACCUCGUAAAUUGUUGUUCUUCUUGGUUCACUAGUGCAGAAGAAGAGCUAGUCGGAGAAAAAUGGGAGGAAAGAGAAAGGAUUUCGCCAGCACCACCGAUGUCCAGGGUACCGAGGAAGGAGGAGAACAAAAGGUAAAGAAGAAGAAGAAGGAGAAACUGGCGGCGGAUGGAUUGCUUCCAUCGACAAUAAAGAAUAAGGAGAAGAGGUCUGCCGUCCAUGCCAAGCUUAAGCAGCAGAAAAGGCUUGAGAAACGUAAGAGGGCCAAGGCUCGUGAAGCGGCUGAGCAGAGAGCUCUUGAGCUUGGCGAGGAGGUUUGCCUUUCAUCCUUUUUCUUUUUUAAAUUCAUUUAUUUUAAAGACAUUCUUUUUCCAUAUCUUUCUCAUCAAACGAAUGCUGUUUGUUAAUCUUGAGGCUUUAGUGUUUGGUAUGUCCAAUCCGAUAUGUCUAAUAUAUGCUAAUAAUUUGCAAUUAGUAAUUUUUGAUCCAACAAGCAAGCAAUUGAUUAAAACAAGAUUUGACUAUCUAAUUGUAUUCUGAUGGACAUUUUUCUGUCGACAAGCAGCCUCCGCCGAGGAAAAUCCCUCGCACAAUUGAAAAUACCAGGGAGCUUGACGAGACUAUCUGCAAGCCUGACGAUGAAGAGGUAUCCUGUUAUCCAUCUUGAAUCUUCAAUGUUUUCCCAAGCUGCAUAUUUGGAAAGAAUACUUGGGAAAUUUGAUAACAUGACAGAUUAUCCUGUGUGUCUCAUAUGUGCUGCUCUUGCCUUCUUCAUCUACAGCUAUUUGCUGCAAAUGAUGCAGAUGAAUUUAGUUCGAUUCUGAAGCAGGACCGCACUCCAAAGAUACUCAUAACAACUUGCCGCUUCAAUUCAACUGUAUGUGUUAAUUUGAGUAUAUGUACCUAUUUGACUGUACAGCGUUGCCUUUAGUUUCAGAUCAUUGUUUUCCCUGUUGUCAAAGACUUGCUUUUUUUGUGUGUAGAUUUUAUGUCUUAUUUAUUUCUUUCUCUACAGAGGGGACCUGCUUUUAUAUCAGAUCUACUCUCUGUGAUCCCAAAUGCACACUAUUUCAAGAGAGGAACCUAUGAUCUUAAAAAGGUUUUAAUAUUAAUUUCUGUUAAUUCCUUUUUUUUUCAAAAAACUACAAAAUAGUUUUUAUUUUGGCAUAUUUUGCCUAUGCAGAUUGUAGAAUAUGCAGAAAAUAAGGAAUUCACUUCUGUUAUCGUUGUCCACACUAAUCGCCGGGAACCAGGUUAAAUUAUGCAGCCUUUAUCUAGCAUUUGCACACAACCAUUGCCUCUGGCCUUUUUUCUCUCUUCAUGAGUUAAUGUAGAAUACUAAUGAUGGAAUCUUCUUUUAGAUGCUUUAUUGAUAAUUGCAUUACCUGAUGGACCUACUGCCCAUUUCAAAUUAUCAAAGCUGCUUCUGCGCAAGGAUAUUAAGGUUUGUUGGUCCUCCGUCUUCUUUUUCAGAAUCUUGUCUAAGCUGCUAAGCUUUUUAAUUAGGAAUGAUUUUCCCUUAAGAGAAGAAGCUAUAUUAGUUUGAUAAGGGUGCUGAAUGUUGUCAUGGUUUUACGUUGCACUCUAGUACUCAUGAUGAUUUUAGUAUUGCAAUUUCUGAUGGUCCUUUAGUUAGAUACCUAUCCCCAAAGUGUUCCUUUGAUAGCUUUGUUUCAGUAUCCUGCUAUUCCUUCCUCAAUAUUUUCCCUCAUUCUCAAUAGUGUAAUUUUAAUUAUCAUGUGCUUUCUUCUGUGUGUGUUUUCUUGAAAUGGCUGUUGUUUUCAUGGAUAUCUGGGUCUGUUUAUGUGUAUGUGUAUUCCAUACUUAGGUGUUGCAUGUUGGAUUUUGGAUGUCUUGUAGUUCCAGAUAGAUGAUGAUGCUUUACUCUCCUUCACUUGCAGAAUCAUGGGAAUCCAACUAGUCACAAGCCUGAGCUAGUCUUGAAUAACUUCACAACACGCUUGGGACAUCGUAUCGGGAGGUGACUUCUUGUUUUAUAUGUGAUUUUUUCAAGAGAGUUACAGGAAAUUGGAUGUGUGUUUAAAACAUUGAUUAUAUUUAGUGUGGUGGCACAGUUAAUUUAUGUUGUUUUCUCUGGAUUUGCACAGAUCAUCUCUCUCUCUCUCUCUCUCGCCUGUAUGUGUUUGUGAAUGUCUUGUACUCUUAAACCUAGAAUAUUUAUGAAGUAUUUUGCUAGAUAAUUUCUGUCUCGUGCACUUUAAGAUCUCUCUCUCUCUCUCUCUCUCCUGUAUGUGUUUGUGAAUGUCAUGUACUCUUAAACCUAGAAUAUUUAUGAAGUAUUUUGCUAGAUAAUUUCUGUCUCGUGCACUUUAAGAUCUCUCUCUCUCUCUCUCUCUCCUGUAUGUGUUUGUGAAUGUCAUGUACUCUUAAACCUAGAAUAUUUAUGAAGUAUUUUGCUAGAUAAUUUCUGUCUCGUGCACUUUAGGAUCUAUAUUUUUGUUUAUGACUCUUUCUAUGCAUUAUUUUGGUUAAUAGGUUGAUACAAUCGCUUUUCCCACAAGAUCCUAAUUUUCAUGGUCGUCGAGUUGUAACGUUUCACAAUCAACGUGAUUUUGUAUUCUUUCGCCAUCACCGGUGUGUGUUCUUUCUUUUAAGGAGUUUGUUCUAUUCCACAUAUUGAUCUUAGACUUGUAAUAAAGCUUUGUGAUGGCAACCUUAUCUUUUGAAUGUGAAGUUACAUUUUUGAAACCAAAGAAAGUAAGCAGGCUGCAUCCAGUGGCAAAAAGAGCAAGGAUAAUAACGAUGAGAAAAGCGAGCAGAAACUUAUUGCACGACUUCAGGUUUGUGUUUCUGAUUUAGUUCAUUCUUGUCUUGAGAUGUAUAUUCUUUCUUUUGUGAUAAGUACUUCUAGCACAUUUAGAAUUCAAGAAUAAGUUUUAGUUUUGUUAAAAAUGCUAUUUGUCCUAAUCCCAAGAUAAGGGGAAUUAAUUUGUUGCUGUUUUAAGGAGACUAAGCCUUAAAAUGGCAAUUAGUAAUGCACUUGGAUCUGCACAAAUUUGCCUGCAAGGAACUCUAUAGUAAGUUUGAAUCUUCCCAUGAAUGGCCUUGUCCUCAUAUUUGGCAUCUGCAGCACCCUUAGUUUCGGUAUAUGAAGAUGCACAUCAUACAGGCCAUGUUUUGACCGGAAUGUCUAUUGUUAACUGGUAAUUGAGUCAAUGCCAGUCAUACAUGUUUCUUUGGGUUAACUGGUUAAGGAAUGGAGAAAACCCCUCUUGACACUUCUAUAGCCCCUUAUAAUAUUCCUGUCAUACAGGUCUUUUAUGCUUUAGCAUUUUUCGUCUUUCUUUUUAAUUGCUGUUUAUACUGAUGGCCAAUUCUUUUCAUGCUUUACGGCAGUUCUUUUUAAGGUUUGGAAUCGAUUUAGUGGCUGAAAAAAAACUCACAUUCAUAUUAUCCACUUAAAAAAUGUAGAGAAGGAUAAGAAACAAGGGGCAAAAAAAUGCAACAUGAAAGGAAAUAGCUAUCUGAGUCAGAAUAUGAAUUAGAAACUUUACCUAGUAAAGCUGAAACUACACCAAGAACUUGGCUUCUAGCUGGUCUGGUAAGUGUAUGUGCUAUAGAGAUCUGAACAUUCGUGAACAAUGCUUAAAAUUUCCUUCCAGUUUGUUUUAACUGUUCAUCAAAGAAAUAUUUAUUACUACAAAACAACAACACAUAAAAGGCAAAACAGAAGCAGAGAAAGAGACUAUUGGUAAUCUGUUUGUUUGACUUUCAUAUGUUAUCUGUUUUUUCCACCUAUUGAUUUUCUUAUUGCA
This 83991-nucleotide long non-coding RNA is filed under the name Coffea arabica (coffee). RNAcentral's name for it is "long non-coding RNA (CARA_LNC006633)". The record is from RNAcentral. Lineage: Eukaryota; Viridiplantae; Streptophyta; Magnoliopsida; Gentianales; Rubiaceae.